AAUUUGUUAUUCUAUAGGAUUCUAUAAACCUGGAGAUUACUUAUAAAACAGAACAUCAGGGGCAAAAAGUAUUGUAGAACAAAACUGAAAACUUCAAGGAUCUUGAUGGUGUACCAAACCAAAUGUCAACUGGAGCUCGACCAAAAACUAAGGUAAGGAGCUUUAUUACAAAAUACCUGGCAAGAGCAUCAUACCCCCUUAUACAGUGCUGUUUACCAAGGGAAAAUAAAUUCACAGAUUUUUUUACUUUUCAUUUUGUUUUUAAAUUUAAAUUAUGGUAGACCAUUUUUUAUUACAACAUGAGGGAAUUUAUAAUGAAAAUAUGUGAAGUUGUUAAUAUUUACAAACAUUAUGUAGUCAUUAAUAUUUACAAAAUAAGAAAAAAUUUCUUUUCACUGUUGAGGGAGAAUGAUUAAUCCAAGGUGACAGGUAGAGCCAGAGUAAGGGACUGUAUGCACUUCAUUUAAUUUCUCCAGUAUAAGUGGAAAAAUAUGCUGCAGUUGCAUUUCCUUGGCUAUUAUUAGAAAAGACUUCCUAUUAAGAUGGUUUGUUUCCCAUGGAUCAGGUGUCCAGAACACAUCUACAGGACAUUAAUUAAAUAAUGGACAUUAAUAAAACCCAGAGAAUUUGUUGUUGUGUUUUUGAUAUAAUAAAAAUAAAGAAAAAUUUACCAGCCUUUCUUACAGAUAUUUUGCAACUUUUAAUCAGAUUUGUAAUUUUUUUCUGAACAUUUAAAUUUUUUUUUCACUCUUUAAAAAUUGAAUCUGAAAAUAGAUAUUAAGUCCUUACCAGUAUUGGAUGUAUAAGGAUGUUAAAUAAUAAUUUACAAGAUUUUAUACAGGUACUUAUAAUUCUUGAUUUAUGAUACUCUGGCUACUUUAUGAUGUAAAAGAGUAAUAAUAAUUUUAUGAGUAAAUAUGAAGGUAACAUUAUGCAUUAUCCUGAAAGAAAACAGGAGAAAUUUUUAAAACUUAUCUGAAGUGGGAUAAUUUAAGAGAUUGCUUGCAAAGUUAUGGGCAAGGUUAAGAGAAACAAGUAAUUCCUAAGAUCGUUGAUUGCCCAGCAGUUUGCCCAGCAGAUCUUUGUUCUUCACGAGCAAAUGUAGUCACAACCAAAUUAUAGAAUGACGGAGAAUAAACUAAGAGAGCUGCUUCUAACCUUCUAACCUUCUGGGACUCAAAUUGACUAAAUUCAUGGAGAAUCGGAGGGAAGAGCAUUUGACUGAUGCAGGGAAUUUUUAGGACAGUGAAACUACUUUUUAGAACUAAAUAGUAGUAUAUACGUGUUGUUAUACAUGUUUUAAAAAUCCUUUGAACAACAGCAAGAGUUAAUAAUGUAAAUAAUGAACUUGGGGUGAGUAUGACGUGUCAAUAUAGGAUUAUCAGUUGCAACUAUGUACCGCUUAGUUGGGGAAUGUUUGUGGUGGGGGAAUGUAUGCAUGUGGGAGGUGGGGGAGACUUGGGAAAGCUCUGUACAUUCCUCUCAAUAUUUCUGUGAACCUAUAAGGUCUCUAAAAAGUAAAAUCUAUUUUUUAAAUGUUUUCUAAAUUAAAAAAGAAAAAUAUAGUACAUCCUAUCUAUUCUCUCUUUUGGUAAAGAAUGAUAGACAACAUCAAACUUUUACACUCAACUUUCUUUUUAGAUCAUUCCUAGCCCAAGAAAAAAAUAUUUAUUGCAUUUAAAUUGAUUUUUUUUUAAGAUUAACAGUGAAAGUUAAAAAGGAGAAAACCAUUAUCUUUAGUGUGAUGCUAUAGUUCAUUGCCUAUUGCCUCUUAAGGGAAUGUAAUUUAUUCAAGAGGCAUUUGGGACCUCUCUUAGUUGUUUUCCUAAUAGUACUUUUUAAUUUUUUAAAUUCUCAUUCCUUUUUUAAAUUUUUACACUAUGCUAAUAAUUAUUCUUGGACAGAUGAUUUAUUUCCAAAUUAGUUCAUUCAGGAUAAGGACAGAAUAACUAUAUAAGUUAUAAUAUAAAAACAUUGGAGAAUAUUUAAUUUCCCAACCCAUUCAUAAGAUCAUAAUCUGAGUCCUCAGUCAUCUUAGUGACACAAGGAAUGGAGAAGAUACAUAUAUAUCCUCAGAUAUUGAAAAUGGGAUCCAUUUUGGCCUCUAAAAAUAUUUUCCUGUUAUCUGUUGUCACCACCAACAGUGUCAUAGGUAUUCCUUCUAAGAUAUUUUCCUGUAAAUAGGUAGCACAUAGUACAGGCAGGGGCCCCCUUGGUAGAGGAAUUCUUGAUUGUGUUCUGCCUGUGGAUCCUUAGGCAAAUGGAUAAUAGAUUAUGAAAGCUUUCUUGCUGUUUUCCUACUCUAGGGAACAAUCUCUAAAAGCUGGCUCAUUUUUGGUUCCUCUGAAUACGUCAUGAACUUAGAGUCUCCUUGAUAGAGAAAGAUUGCCAUAGGCUAAUUUUUUUUUCAAAAUAAGAAACAAAUAUUUCUGCACAGAUUUAUGAUUUAUGGUGGCCUAAUGUGAGUUCAUUUGUGUGACUUAUUAUCAUUGUCAUUUUCUCAGACUAGUCUGCAAAAUCCAAUUUUAUCCAUAAUAUAUCUAAUGUGUAAAAUUUACUGUCCUGUAGAGCAUGCCUGAAGAAUACUUUUUUUUAAUGUAGCUGUGAUUGCUGAAUACUGAGGGGCAAGGCCUCUUAACUUUAGACAGUGUUCCCCCUGGGCUAGCACUACACAGAGAAUGGAAUAUGAAGGUCUUAUUGUAUGUGUCUUUUUGCUUAUUGUCUUAUUGCUUGUGUUAAUUAGCUUUCCAUUACUGUAACAAAUAUCUAAGAUAAUCAACGUACAAAGAUGGAAGGUUUAUUUUGGAGGUUUCACUUUGUGGUUGUUUGGCCUGUUACUUUUGUUUCUGUGUUAUGAAUGCACAAUAGAGGAAGCCUUCACCUCAUAGGCAGAAGAAAGAGUAGAGCUCUGAGGUCUUAGACCCACAAUGACUUGAAGUUCUCCAACUAGGCUCCACCUCCACUAUAUCCCAAUAGAGCCACAAGCUGAGGACCAAGCCUUUAACACAUGUGCUUUUGGGGAACAUUAUCCAAACUACAGCAUUGCUUAUCAAGAUUUCAAGGCACUUUUAGUACAAAUUUCUGAAGUUCCAAACAUGGUUUGUACCAUGGUAGAACAACUCAUUUCUAUUCAUCUCAGAUAUCAAUCCCUAGGGUCAAAGUAAAGCAUGAUAGUUGUUAACAGUAACUAUAGUAUAAGUGAGUUACAAAAACAGUUCAAGACUAACACUGGGCUUAAAUACUCCCACCAAACACAAGAACAGGGUAUCUCAGUAUAGACAUCAGGUCAGAGCUGCCAUGUAUAAACGACAUGCCCUACUCAAGGGCCCCCUUUUCUAAUUUGCACAAAGAUACCUUCUUCUUACCAAGCUUUUAGUCCCUAAGAUGGUGAAUACCAAAGAAGAUGUGUUUUUUAAAUCUUUAUGAAAAAUAUCACAUGGGCUAGAUAGGCUAUGAAAUGGCUAAAGGAUGGUCUAGACCAUGUCAACAGAAAUGACAAAAAGCCCAAGGCGUGAACUAUAAAUUUGGCCAAGUUGCCAAGCUGAGAAGUCUUUUAAAAAGUAAUCCAAGGCCACAGGGGCCCCAGUUGAAAAUAUGACACUACCCUGGUUCUGGCUCUCAGCUUUCAACCUGAAAGAGCAGGCCAGGCACAUUUCUGAGGUCAUUGAUUCAUGAGUAGGUUUUGAUUUAUGUUUAGUUCACAGCUCAUGAGUGUGGAGCAAAGAGGAUCUGUUGAUGCUGGUAGCUGUAUCCUAGGCAGAGAUCAACAGGGUAUGGACUGGCCAGUUCCACAUGAUCUACCUCAAGAACCUGCAUCUUCAGUCCUCAUACUCCUACUGAGAGUCCUUGGUCUCUGGCUGCCAUGACAUUUCUAAUUACCUGGUCUGAUGCCUCUUGAACUAAAUGUAUCAAGUCUUGAAUUUUAAAUCUCCUUCCUUAGUGAAAGGCAACUUUAGUCAAUUCAUCAUUCAAGUCACAAACCUGGGAAACACCCUAUUUUCUGUUCUCUCCCUUAAAUACACUUUGAUCAUCACCAAAUCCAUCUUUUCUACAUUUCUAAAAACAUAAUGCUUUGCAUUUAUGUCCCUAAUGCCACUGUCCUAGGUCAGUUAUCUUUCACCUGAAAUAUACACUGUUAGCUGGUCGUCUUCUUUUGGCAGCAAAUACCCAUAUUUGUUAUCCAAAAUGCAAAUUUUUUAAAGGUUAAAUCUGAUCAUAUCUUGCAGAAUGCUAAAUCUGAUAAUAUCUCUGUUCUAUGGGGAAAAUCCUUCAGUGUAUUCACAUUAUCUUUGAUAGAAAAUUAAAUUUCUGUAUUUGUCAGACAAAGCCAUUCAUGAUCUAUUCACACCUACUUCUCCAUUGUCCUCUUUCUCUCCCCUGACUUUUACUUAAUGUCAUAUCAGGUUACUUUUAGAUCCUUAGGUCUUUACUGACUCUCCUUGUAUUUGCAUCACUUGCUCCUUUGACCUGGAAUUCCCUUUCUGUCUUCUUCACAUUAGUUCAUUUUACUAGGUUCUCAAGCUCUGGUUAUAGAAAGUCCGUGUUCUUCGGGCAUUUAUCAUAUUAAUGCCUUUUAUAUGUUUUUGCUUUUCCUUCAUAGAACUUGAAGCAAUUUCAAGUCCAGACUGUACCACUCAUCUUUGAAACCUCAGUGCUAGGCAAAGCAACUGAAAAUAGUAUGCCCUCAUGAAAUUCUCAAAAACAUACUAUGUUCUCAGUAUUUUAGCUAGUAAGAGCACCUUUCUGCUGUGGUGUAUUGGACAGAAAUUGCUAUUUGGAUACAUGUGAACCAAUGUUUUGGCAAGAUACAAACACUAGAAGGAAGAGGGAUAUAUACCAGAAAAAUUUACUGGGUUUCAGGAUGUCAAGAAUUAAAGAACUGUCAGGGACAAAGACUUCCGUCUAGAAGAAGUUCCUAGAAGAGUUUUUCAUCUAGGACAGACUUGUAGUUUUUCCUCACCCUCCCAUCCCUUGCCUUUUUUUGUCUGAGAGAUGUUGGCAGCAUGCUAUCCUUUCCACUGCCACCUUCCCUUCUUUAUUUUCAGCUAUUUCUUCCAUUCCUUGACUCCUAAGACAUAAGAAAACUGGUCCCAAGAAAGAAAUCUCUUCCUUCUCCAGCACUUCUAAAGGGUUUUACUUGAAAGUAGAACAAAUAGACAAUGAUGAAAAAAGUCAAUACUUUUAAUUUUUCCUUAAAGAGUAUUGGCAGGACAUAAGACAGAUAGAAGACAGGUCUUGAGCCAUGUUUCUUAUACUUUUCGAAGCCACCUAUGUUUAGUGAAUUUCCUAGACUCUUGUUAGAGAAAGGAAGAAUAAUUAAAGGAUAUCUAUAGCCUUUGUAAGAGUUGAGAUGAAACAGGGGCUAGGGAUUUGGCAAAUGAGCCUUUUUGCUAGAAGACAGGCAGCUACAGAAAUAUGGGAGAAGGAAAGCCUCAGGUGGUGAUGCUAGGGGAGGACAUCCUGCCUCUUGUUACUUUUUACUUGCUGUUAUUUCUAGAAUGACUACCUCAUGGAUCCCUGCCUGGGCUCCUCAGUAGGGGGAAGUUCAAAGGAUUUUUGUAUGGUUAAAGGAAUGAGGAAAAGUUUGUGAAACAUGUCUUCCCAGUAGCAGCUGUAGAGGAAGCAGAAUUACUUUGGCUACCAGACUAAGGCAGCAAUUCCCAAGGGACUAUCUGUACAAACACAGUGGCCCAGGAGACAUAAGAUAGAGGCUGACUAUUACUGUGUAUGUGUGUUUCUUAGUAAUAUCAUAAAGAAUGAAACACCUAAUUUACAUUUGAUUCUAUGAUUAAAUCAUGAUGAACUAUUCUAGAAUGUUUAUGUACUUCUAUUUGUCACCGCAGACUUGGGAGAAUAUUUGCCAGAGCUAGUAUGUACUGAGCCAUCUCUGUGUAAAACGACAUCUGUCUCAGGAACACAGCCCACUUGUGUGGGUGAAAAUAUGCAGUUGCAAGCCGCAUGUGGCCACUGCAUUCUUUAGGCCUUUGUUAUCCUUGAAAUCAUCACAGCUAUCAAUCAAAUUUAUUUCUCCUCUGAAUUAGUAAAAAAAUAUUUUUAAACAUGGCAUAUCUGAAAAAUUUAAGACUUUCAUUCAGUUUGUUUUAUAGUCCUUACUGAUUACAGAAGUUUCCUCUAUCUUGAAUGGAUAGCAGCAUUGACUGUUGUAAUAAAUUCUCUGCUCUGCAGACUUGUGCAGCACAAGCCUGUGCCAAAAGUUAUGCACCAGAUGGCAACUGAAAAUGACUGGAUAACUAUGGUAAGAGUGUAUUUAGAGAAAAUACACAGUUACAAGUAGUAUACACACUUUCAAUGUUUAUAAAAACAUAUCAAAUAAGUCAAUCUGUAUAUAUUGAUUGAGUGCCUGUUCUAUGUAGAAGUUUGCAAGAACUGCUGCUUUUGUGUCAAGUUAUCUGGACAUAGAGCUUAGAAAUAUUACUAAUAUGUCAUCUCUUACAAGAAUAUUGGAGAAAUAAUGACUUCCUAAGAUAUCAAGGUUCAUCCACUGUUGAUUUUCUGUGUUAGGAACUUGGAACUGGGAUUGAGAACAUUUUAGUCAUCAAGAAAAAUGUUUCUUGUGGGUUUCUUAGCUAGGAAUUGUUAAAUUAAAAAUUUCAAAACUUCUCAAAGCACUUAAAAAGAGUAAAAAGACCUUUGCAAUGGGAUUGUGCAGUGGAGAGAGACUGUGCUCAACUCCAAAUACAUCCUGGAUGAGUGAGAAUUUAUAGUUAAAGAUAGGGUGGGGGAUAGUGAAUGGAAAUUUACUAAGAGGAAACAUCAGAAGUGUUAUGGUUUGGAUAUGUGGUGUUCCCCAAAGGUUCGUGGAUUAUCCAGUGUUUCUAUCUGAAAUUAUUAUAUUUUGAGAUUAUAAUCUAAUCAGUGAAUUAACCCAUUUGAUGGAUUAAUAAUUUGAAUGGAAUACAGGAUAGGAACUGUAGGCAGGUAGGGAGUGGCUGGUGGAAGUAGAUCACUGGAGACAUACUCGUAGGGAUUAUACUUUGUCCCUGGUGCCUCCAUUUCUUUUUCUUUUUUUCAGCUGCCAUGAGUUGACAGCUUUCCUCUGCCACUUCCUUCUGCCACAGUUUUCUUUCUUUUAUUUGUUUUAAUUAGUUACACAUGACAGUACAAUGACCUUGACAUAUCAUACAUUUGAAUCAGAUGGGAUAUAAUUUCUCAUUUUUCUGAGUGUACAGGUUGCAGAAUCAUAUUGGUCAUGCAGUCACAUAUAUACACACAAUAAUAAUAAUGUCUAUUUCAUUCUACUGUCCUUCCUUUCCCCCCAUCCCCACCCUUCCCCUCCCAUCACUUCUCUCUACCUAAUCUAAGGUGACACUAUUCUUUUUUUUUCCUCACAUCUUCAUACAUGUAUUAUUUUGUAUAACGAAGAGGGUCUCCUUCCACGUUCCAUGCAAUUCCCCUUCUCCCUCCCUUUCCCUCCUACCUCUCUUUCCUAUCUAGAGGUAAUCUUCUUCCCAUGCUCUUCCUCCCUGCCCCAUUCUGAGUCACCCCCCUUAUAUCAGAGAAGACAUUUGGCUUUUGUUUUGGGGGAUUGGCUAACUUCAUUUAGCAUAAUCUGCUCUAAUGCUAUCCAUUUCCCUGCAAAUGCCAUGAUCUUGUUAUUUUUAAAGGCUGAGUAAUAUUCCAUUACAGAGCAAUAGUAACAAAAACAGCAUGGUACUGGCACCAAAACAGGCUGGUAGACCAAUGGUACAGAAUAGAGGACACAGAGACUAACCCACAAAAUUACAACUACCUUAUAUUAGACAAAGGUGCUAAAAGCAUGCAAUGGAGAAAGGAUAGCAUCUUCAACAAAUGGUGCUGGGAAAACUGGAAAUCCAUAUGCAACAAAAUGAAAUUGAAUCCCUAUCUGUCACCAUGCACAAAAGUUAACUCAAAAUUGAUCAAGGAUCUAGGAAUCAAACCAGAGACUCUACAUCUAAUAGAAGAAAAAGUUGGCCCUAAUUUCCAUCACGUGGGGUUAGGCCCCAAUUUCCUUAAUAAGACACCUCUAGCACAAGAAUUAAAACCAAGAAUCAACAAAUGGGAUGAUUUCAUACUAAAAAGUGUUUUUCUCAGCAAGAGAAAUAAUAUGUGAGGUGAAUAGGGAGCUACAUCCUGGGAACAAAUUUUUACCCCUCACACAUCAGAUAGAGCUCUAAUCUCUAGGGUAUACAAAGAACUCAAAAAGCUAAAGACCAAAAUAAUAAUAAUAAUAAUAAUCCAAUCAACAAAUGGGCCAAAGACCUGAACUGACACAUCUCAGAAGAGGAUAUACAAUCAAUCAACAAAUACACGAAGAAAUGCUCAUCAUCUCUAGCAAUCAGAGAAAUGCAAAUUAAAACUACUCUAAGAUACCAUCUCACUCCAGUAAGAAUGGCAGCCAUUAUGAAGUCAAACAACAAGUGCUGGCGAGGAUACAGGAAAAAGGUACUUAUACAUUGCUGGUGGGACUGCAAAUUGGUGCAGCCAAAUUGGAGAGCAGUAUGGAGAUUCCUUGGAAAGCUGGGAAUGGAACCAUUAUUUGACCCAGCUAUUCCUCUUCUCAGUCUAUACCCAAAGGACCUAAAAACAGCAUGCUACAGGGACACAGCCACAUCAAUGUUUAUAGCAGUACAAUUCAUAAUAGCUAAACUGUGGAGCCAACCUAGAUGCCCUUCUACCACAGUUUUCUGCUUUACCUUAGGUUCAGAGCAAUGGAGUCAGCUGAUCAUGGACCGAGACCUCUGAAACCUUGAACCAAAAUAAACUUUUCUUCCUCUAAGUCAUUCUUGUUAGGUGUUUUGGUCAUAGUGAUGACAAGCUGACUAACACAAGGGGAAAGGGAGAUUCUUGAUGAACCAACCUAAUGGUAUUCUUGUUAAAGGAAGAGGAGGAGGAGCCCCAAUCAGAUAGUGAGAGUGAUUAGAUGUUGAGGGUGGGAGGUUCAGGUUUGACUAUCAGAGUAGAUUCUUAGUAAAAUUGGGUUUUACAAGGAAGUGCUCAGUAGGAUAAGCUUAGAAGAAAGUUUUCCUAAACUUUCCUAAACCCGACUAAAGUUUGGUAAAGUAGAGAAUCUUUGUCAGCAUGUGCCAUGACCUUAAGAGACAUGUAGGAGACAGGAUCCACUAGAAUGACCCAACUCAUGGGCAGGAUCUGAUCAGGUGAUAGAAAUAGAUUUGGUCUGUAAACAACACAGCAGAGCCCUAGAGACAUUAAGCAUCUAAGAAAGCCUCCAUCACAGUAUAGAAGUGACUGUGAAUUCUGGUCAUAAAUGUCAGUGUCCUGAUAAUUCUGAUUCCUUAGUCAUUGCACAGCUGUUCCUGGAGAGUAAGUGAGACACAUAAAUUAGUGACUAUAGUGAUUAUGCUACUCACAUCUGCUCUGAAUCAUCUUCUCUAUCCUUUCCAAACAGCUGUAGCCAAAGAUGAAACUUCCUUUCCCACAGCUCAGACCAUAGGACCAUAAAUUGUAACCCACCCCAUCUUCCACCUCUAAGUAUCAAAAUGAAGAUUCUUCAAUCAUCCAAGUUUUCAUAUCAUUUUACUGGAGAAAAACUAAGCAGUGGCCCCACUGAAAGGAAGAAUGAUGUGAAUUUUCCAUGUUGACAUAGUAGUUUUUUGUUUGUUUGUUUGUUUGUUUGCCACAAAAAAAUGUUAUCUUUGUGUAUUUAAAGGACAGCCACAUGUAGACAGCUUUCUAAUCCUUUAUUUUGAAAUGAGAGUCAAGCAGUAAGUCUAAAGUAGAAAAGCAAUUUGGUUGAAUUAAUUCAUACUUAUGUGUAAAUUACUGAAAGACCUUAAAUAUUCUUGGAAAGUUGUAUUUUAAAGUGAUUCUCGGUAUACUAAAAUAUAGUUCAGUGAAAGAACACUUGCCUAGCAUGCUCAGGAUCCUGUGUUUGGUCAUAAGCACUGCAAAAAUGAAAUGAAAUAAAAUAGAUUAUCUCUUGAUCCAAACAAAUCUAUGGGGAAUAGUAAUCCUGGCAUGUAACAUGGUAAAAUAAACAAGUCUAUUAAUGCCCCAGAAACUGUUUUAAAGGCAGGGGCAGAACACAGACUGUUAUGGUUUAGAUAUGAAGUAUUUCACAAAUACUUAUCAUGUGAAAGGCCUGGUUUCCAAUGCAACAAUGUUUAGAAGUGGGGAUUUUGGGAAGUGAUUGGAUCAUGAGGACUCUGGCCUUCUUAGCUGAAUGAACUAUUGGGAGAUUGUAGGACGUGGGAUCUAGUUGGGAUCAUGUUAGGAGCAUGGCCUUGAGAACUUUAUCUUGUGCCCAAUUCCUCUGUUGUCCACUUCCCUUCUGCUUUGCAGAAGCCAUGAGGUGAGCAUCAUUCCUCCACUAUACCCUUUUACAAUGAUUUGUAAAAUCAUUGUAAAAGGGUAUAUUUGGCUUUGCUUUAAGCCAAAAGAGAUGGAACUGACCACCUUAGAUGGAAACCUCUGAAAUUGUGAAGCAAAAUAAAUCUCUCCUCCUUUAAGUUGUUUUUCUCAGAUAUUUUGUCACAAUUAAAAGCUGACUAACAUGACUCAUUCCCAUCUGAGUCUGUGCUCUGCUAAGUUGUACCUGUUUACUCACAGCCUGUUCAUGCCCCCUCCACUUCUAAUUCCACUAUUCUCUUGAAGUUUCAAGUCUUUUUUUCUUUUUUUUGUAGUAAGUUUCAGAAUCAGAACUUAAGGAUGGAAAAAAAAAAAAAAAAGCCUACCAGGGAGGAAUGGUAGUUAGCAGGUACAGAGAUAGAGCCAUGGUCACUGUGAGUACUGUUUGUAAACAUCAUGUUCUGGUCAUUGUGAGUCCUGUUUGUAAACAUCGUGUUCUGGUCAUUGUGAGUCCUGUUUGUAAACAUCAAGGGCAGACAAUGGUUUGUUAUAACUAUAUCUGUGUAUGGAUUAAUUUUAUUUCUCUGUAAAAAUAUCAGAAAUAGAAAAAUAAUGGCAAACUAUUAUUGAGAGUAUAAGUGUAGCUGUUGAUGUCAAGUACUUGGAAAAUAUCCAGCCCUAUUGCUCCCUUGGGCUAGACUGAUACUGUCUAUGAACUUCCUUCAAGAAAAACAACCAGUUUCACCAUCCAUUUUUAUUAACUCCAUAUUCUCAGAGGAACCUUUACGUACUCCCUUGAAUAUCAGGACUAAAUUUAUUUCGCUACAUGUAGAGGCAUCUUACUGGAUAUAAUUAUCCACAAAGCCAAUUGUGCCUUCCAAGACAAGUAGGAAUAUAUAUGAUUGUUCUUCCUCCAUUCUGCCUACUUUCUUUUAAGUCUCCAAACAUUAUUUCAAGAAUAAGGAAAGCAAUAUUUUUGUUCCUUAUGGAAAAAAUUCAGGAUCAGUAUGCUUGCUAUGAGUGGCAUCAAAUACUUAUAUGGGCUAAGAAAGUCUUCUUUGGUUAAUAUAGAGAUAGGUCAUCAAAAGGAAUUGGAUUUUAGCUACUUUAAUGGUGAUAUUAAUGCCUACUAGAAAAGAAAAUAGGCUAAGAGAUUCAGGCUCUGAUGAAAACCUGAGAUUCCAAGUUAACAGCUGUAGGUAAGCACUGCCCAUAGAAGUCAUCCACAUAUUUAAUUUUAAGUUUUAUAGCAGCCACUUAAAAAAAAGGAAAAAUAACAGGUGAAAUUUUAUUUUCACAUUGCUGUUAACAUAAUGUUAAUAGCAUAUUUUAUUGAAACCAACAUAUACAGAGUGUUAUCAUUUCAACACAUAAUACAUACAACAAUUAUUAACAAGACAGUAUUUUUAAAUUAUAAGUCUUCAAAAUAGAGUAUGUAUUUUACAAAUAGAAUAUCUAGACUUAGAGUAGCCAUAUUUUAAGGCUAGUCUGGGGGACAGAGCAGCUCCAGGGGAUAACACAAGAAGAAAGAACUUCAUGAUGACAAAAACCAUUUAUUUAUUCUAAUAGAACCUAAAUCAGAGAGAGCAUUAAGAAACUAAUGAUGGAAAAUUAAGAGAAUUGCAUAACUUUGGACAGAGAUUUCCAAGAAAUAGACUGGUUAAAGAUGAUUUAUGUGAAUAGGUAGUAUUUACUGAGUAUGAUUCAGAUGGAGAUAAGGUGAUCAAUUUUUACUUUAAUUAAGGGAUAAACUUGGAAUUCAUUCAAAAAAUGAUCUUGAUUUUCUUAAAGUAAGUAAGAAAAACAGUUCUGCUCCUGGAACAGGGUAGAAGUAAAAGUAAAAACCAAAGAAUAUGUGUCUAAAAUCCCCCUCAACAUAUAACUCUAUAGAGUAAAGCAGACUCCUGAAGCUAAUACACAUAAUUUACUUCCCUAGAUUUAGGGGAUUACCAAAAUAUAUAUAUAUUAUUCAGGAGAGAUAGAUAGAUAGAUAGAUAGAGGCUUUGUUGACUGAAACUCAUAAACAUUCAUGGGUUAUUAUUAUUGGCUAAAGAAAGGGCUAUUUUGUGGAGAUGAAGUAUCAAGGAAAAACAAUCAUCAGAGAGCACCAUUAAUUGUCAGAGAUGUGCUAUUCUUGAUGAACAACAGAGAAUCAGUGGAGGUGAAGAAGGGCUGUCUUUCUGUUGAGAGCAAUUAGACAUUUGUUUUAUCAAAACAUUUAUUGCCUACUUUUUAGAGCCUUCAUACCAUUACUCUAUUAUGUAUUUAAUGUGAGGGCAUAUGAUGCUCAAUAAUUAGUUUUUUCCUCCUCAAUGUGGGCUUUCAGUGGCUUCAUAAAAAUGAUAAAUGGCUCUUCUUGGACAUACAGGAUAGAGAUUGGCAGGCAAUUCAAAGUUAAGAUUUCCCAGUAGAACCAUCAUUACCAAGGCGAUCACAUACUACUUUGCCUCUAUUCUGAAAAAUGUCAAAAAUUAGGCCAAGAUUUUUAUGAUCACCACUUCAUACUGCCUAAAAGGCUUUUCUACCCUCCCUUCUAAUUUUUUUUUUUUUUGGUUGUGCAUGUGCCUGCAAUUUCUGUAUUUUCUCAGUUGCAUCCACUUUGAAUAUGCUUGUUUAUGGAUGCUCCUAAAAGCAAUCAUUUCAAAGAACUCUAGGUUUUGCUGAGACCAUUGUAUACAUGGGAAAAAUUAUUUUAUUGGAAAAUGACUUAGGAAGACACAAAAACAUGUUAUGAUACAAGAUAAGUGAAUUAUUUGACAGCAUAUCCUGUAAAGCAAGGCACUUGGAACCUUUAAUAAAGAGCAUGUUCUGAAAUAUCCCAUAUAACACUUUAUUAGAGAAUUUUCUCACACCUGAUCUUGUUUGAAUUGUACAAUGACCUCAUCAGGGCAUUUGAAAGAUUCUGUUGCUUUUUUUUUUCUUUCUUUUGUGCAUGCAAAGCAAGCACUCUACCAACUGAGCUAUAUCCCCAGCCCCAGAUUCUACUGUUUUGAAGCCAGAAUAUUUAAAUGACUUGACCAAAGGCACAGAGCUGAUAUUUGACAAAAACAGUAUCCUAAUGCUCUUAGUUCUGUAUCAUAUCAUUCUCUCCCUUUAUCUUUGAAAGUAGUGCUUUCCAGACCACAAAUCCUGGAUGCAAUGACUAUAACUACUUGCUGUCUUGAUGGCUCUGCUCCCAUUUCUUAUAACUUCAGCUCCUACAAUUUCUGCCCACCAUUCUAGGAGUCUCAGGGUCUUUGUUCCCAUGGAAUCUUGUGGGAGUGGGGUAUUAUUUUUUAAAGUUGGGUUUAUUUUUAAAAAUCAUUUUAUUAUCCAGUUGGGAAUCUACGGUGUCAUCUAUUACUGCCCAAGUCAUAAACAGCUGAAUCCCUCCAAAGAUACUAAGUCUGCUGCAGUGUUAUGCUCUCUCACUAGUCUGGCCCAGCUCCAGGCUGUUGCAGUGUGCUGCUCAGACUCCAAAUGCAAAGGUAACCUCUGAGCAGAGGAAGUGCCCUUUGCUCCACCCCCUCCCCCCACUACCUUCUUUACUUCCAAAGCUGUUAAACACUGCCCUCAACAGAGUCUUUAAGGAAACUGCUCUUUUCACUUUAAUUGCUUGUUUUUAUAGUCUUCUCUCUCUGAGUAGUCCACAGAGACUGAAUUUAAGAAACCAGGUAAUAAGUUCCAUACUUUUCCCUUCAAUUGCUGCAUUCCUCCUCCAAUGACCUAUUGAGCUUUAACACAGCAGACCUUCCUUUGAAUAGUUAUUUCCCAGAAUAUUCUUAGAUCUUUCCAAACAAUAGAUUCGGCUGGGCCUAUCAUGCCCAUCCUUCCACAGCCAGACAUGUCCAUGGUUUAGAUGAUAAAAUCCAGACUGACACAGUUUUCCCCCAGACACUGACCCCACUUUCUCAGUUACCUUUUGUGAACAUCUAUUGAAUCAAAGCCAGAUUUUUCUGCCUAUCGAAUGCCCUUUCCCAAUUGUUUGUUUAAUCUUACUAUCUUUCAUGCCCCUGUCUCCAUAGGAUGUCAGAGAAAACUUGUGUGUAAUGAGUGUUUCCCAUAAAUAUCAAUGAUAUAAACAAGUAAAUGAUAAAUUAUGGGUGAACUAUUAUAGACUGACUUUUCUUAGAUAUAUUUCUAGGUAUUUUUUAUUAAUGAUUAAAAUAUUUUUCUCUCAAAAUACAAAGCUGUUAUGCAUUAGUGGUGUCUUUCUCAUCAUCAAUAUUCUCUUCCUUAUCAAGUUAACAUGAAUAAAGAUGUUGGCAGUGGAUUAGUAUGGUUUUUAUUAUUAAUGAGGGAAACACAUUAAUUAGUACAACACUGGGUUAAGUUAUUGAACAAACCAGCCCUUAAAUGAAAUAAAACCCACUCAGAAGCUCAAAAUCUGAGGAAGGUUAUAGUAACUUAGAUCUCUUCUAUAAAAGGAUAUGCAGAUACUCAUAAAUACAUAAUGCAGCAUGAAAAAAAAUUAUACUUUGUGAACAUUAGUACAAGUGGUUUUAUGUAGUACAGAGUUCAAGAAUAAGUCAUGAGAAUUUUAUCUUCAGAGAGGAUAUAGCCAAGUUUAAAAAAAUGGAACUCACUUCCUUUUGGAGAGACUUCAAGAAGGAAAUGAGAUUUCCAACACUCUUUUGCCUAAAGAAAGAAUAAACUAAAGUUGUAAAGGUCAAUGAAUGAAUCACAUACCUCAAUCCUCUAGAUUUGAAAUCUAUUGAUAAAUAAAGUAUCAAAAAGAGAAAAAAUAAAUACUUUUAUUACUAAUAAAACCAAUUUGGAGACCAUCCCUUGAACCCAAAAUUGCCUUUUUAUUUUCCCCUUUUAUCCUAAAUAGAACUUUCUUGUCGCAAGUGCAUCAGCUGCACAUAUUCAAGCCUUUUUUGAAAUAAUAAGAGCUGGUGAAGGGUUACCAUGUAAUUUUCAAAGAAGAAAUAAGAAAGUGAGCAUCAUAUGUCUAGCUUCCUCCCUCCAAUUGGAAAAGACAGUAAUAGGCAAACUUUCUGAAAAGGGCCAAGGUAGUGAAUAAUUUAGGCUUUGAGACCAUGUGUUCUUUGUUUCAGCUACUCAAUUUUUAGCUUGUAGCAUGAGAGCAGAUGUAAACAAUAUAUAAACAAAAUGAGUACAGAUGUUGCAUUAUUUUUCUAGGGCUGCCUUAACAAAGUACUAGAGACUGGGUGGCUCAAACAAUAGAAAUUUAUUGCCUCAUAGUUCUGGAGGAUAGAAGUCUAAGAUCAAGGUGUGGGCAGGGUUGGUUUCUUCUGAGAAUUGCAAGGGAAAUCUGUUCCUGGCCUCUCUCCUAGCUUCUGGUGGUUUGCUGGCAAUCUUAGGAAUUCUUUGGCUUGUAGAAACAAAAUCCUGGUCUCAGUCUUCAUAUUCACAUGACAUUCUUCUUGUAUGUGUAUCUCUAUUGUCCUUUUGAUAAUAACAACUGUCAUAUUGGAUUAGGAAUUCACUUUAGCCCAGUAUAACCAGUAUUAACCAAUUAUAUAUAAAAUUAUCUUUUUUCGGAUUAAGUACACAAUUUUAAGUACUGGGGGUUAGGACUUAAAUAUAUGAAUUUGAGGGAGACACAAUUCAACUCAUAAGAACUGUAUUCCAAUAAAACAUUAUAUAUACACAUGAAAUGUUGAAUUCCAUAAAAAUAGCAUUCAACUGUUAUGAGAAAUUCUUUUUUAUUUUCCCCAUAAUGUAUGCAAACUAUACAGAAACAAACCUGGUCUGAAGUUUACCAACUUCUGAGUUAAAUCACUUUUCCUCCAUAGGGAGGAUAAGUUAGGCAGGGAAGAAAACAAAAGUGUUUCUCCAAUUGUCACACCCCUGGGGAGUGGAAAUAUGAGGAGUGAGGUGACAAAUGUCCCAUAUCACAGAGUCCAAAGACUGAGGCCAACUUGAAGUCAGAAUGGGAGGCAUUGUCCAGGACUUCUCAUUGUGGAUGAGAUGGUCCAAGGUCAGAGAUGACAAUGGAAUAAGAAAAACAAAAUAAGAGAUAAACAAGGAAGCUUAGAAAGUGUAACUUACAAUCUUCAUUUUAGGCCAUUUAAAAACCACAGUAUACCUGAGAAGAAAUUGAUCAGCCUGGUCAAAUUAAUUCAGAAAGAGUAGGAACAGAAGUAAAUCUAUAAGUAGGAAGCUUAGAGGAGAGGGUAAUGCAAAAAUCCAGGCUGAAGUUACAAGAACGUGGACUGAAGCUUUCUCUGACACUUCUCUUAGUUCUCUCAUUUCUAAAAAUCUUUAGUUGUGAGUUGUUAAAAUAUUAAUAAAGACUUUGAUUUUCAUAGUAAGAUUUUGCUCACACAUAGGGUCUUUAGUGCAGGUAGAUUUACAUACCAUUUAGUCAGCCUUAGGCUCUUAAUUUCCUAUAAUUGUUUUCAUUCUUUAGAUUCCAUUGGUUUGCUGUGUAAUUUUUACUGCAAGCCUUUAUGAAUCAAAUGAUUAUUGUGAAGGGUGGUCUUGAGGGACAUGCCACCCUCACCAUCCUUUCUUCUAGAACAUGCUUUCCAAAAUCUGCUCAUAUAUCAAACUAUAUGACUAAAAACAGCCCAUGUGUACUUCAUUAUUUCAAACUUUCCCUCUGAAUUGCCUUCACAGAUUUUCAAUUUAAUAAGGGCUUCUGUUUUUUUAAUUAAAGGGCAGUUUUUGUAAUAAAAGGCAUAGAACAUUUCUGCUUCUUUUGUGAUGCUUCUACUGAGGAUUUUUGAUUCUAUUAUUUGAUGCUAGUACAUGAAAAGCUAUGUAAUAAGUUAUUGUUAGACUUUAGUGCAAGGAACAAGAGAGUCUCUUAUGAUAAGUAUUUCCUUUAAGAUAACCAUAUUCACAGAACUCUUCAAUAUCCAUUUUAUUUUGACAUUUAGAAGGUCAGAGAUAAAUUUUGUCCUUGACUUUAGGUGAGGGACUCAACCCAGGUUUUCAGUUUAUCUUUUCUCCUCUCUCACUUUAUUAUUUGGAUCCUUUCUCUUAUUUUUAACUUGCUUUUAUGAUUUUAUUAGAAUCUCUUUUAUUACAAGGAGACACAAAACAUUUUUGAGCAUUAGUAGGCUAUAAAUCAGCAUUAAUAAAUGAUUGGCUCUUAUCAUUUUGUCCAGGGGGAUUAUCCUCUAAUAUAGAACUUUAUGACUUUAGUUAUCUAUUAAUGCCAUCUCAGGUUACAGUGAGUUUUUUUUUUUUUUAACCACACAUAUUCCUUAAUCAAUGAUUCCUGUCUUGAAAUGCUAUAUUUGUUAAAGAGACAAACACAUAUUGGACUGCAGAAAUACACACCUUUAAAAAAAAAUGUUUUUAGGAGGCAGUUUAAUUAUCUCUUUGAAAACAUUAAAAUUAAACUAAAAAUACUUUAGUUAUGUUCCUUAGAAUUCAUUUGCUUGGAAGUGACAGAAGCCCAGCUCAGUAUCAUUUAGGAAUAAAAAGGUAUAUAUUGAUUUGAAAUUUUUGGAAAGCUUUACCUAUAACUGGAUCCCAGGAGCUCAAAAUAAGGCACUUUUGCUCAUAACCCUGCUUUACUGAAUUAUUUAUUGGCUUCAUUGUGGGGCAGGAUCUCUCCACAAUAUACAAAAGUGACUAGCAGUAGUUCUGGGUUUCUAGUGCACCAGUUCUAGCAUUUGAGGUGGGUGGGACGAGGGCAGGGGCAGUCUGUUUGAUGUCCAUUUGUCAACAAAUCUAAGUAAAGUUUUGAGGAAAACUUUUAUGGCCUGGCUUUGGUUAUGUGACCUUCUUUUAACUUAACUGAGACUAAAGAAUUCCAGUGAGUACUUAAUUAGCCAGGGCCCCAUGAUAUGCUCAUUCCUAGAGACAGGAGAUGUGAUUAUCCCCACCCAAAUUACUUGGACUCAGGAGAGUUCCCAAAGAAAUUUGGGGAUGAAGAAAACACAGGUUAACUACAUCUUUCAUUAUGUUUUCAUCACUUGGCUGCCCAGAAUCUACAUAUACCUUCUUACCAACUUAUAAAAUUCUCAAAAUUGCCCUUGCUAAUAUAAUGUAAAUAUACUUCUACAGGGAAAACCGCUGAACCUCUACCCUUAAGGGAGAUAGGACUCAUCCAGUUACUGCUUUCCACUUUAAUUGCAGACUCUCUAAGUUAAAGCAUUUUUCUUGGUUAGGUCUAAAUGUAACUUCUUAUGCCUUGACCAAAGGGUACAUUUAACACUGCCAACUCAUGGUGGUAAAGAGAAAACACUUGCUGCAGUAAAACUUCCAUUUGAGAAAGGAGAAGAGGGCUUCCACUAAAUAGUGAUCUCAAAUUUAUAACAAUUGUCUUGUGCUGCUGGACAAAGAAAAGCAAGAACUCUCUGACUUGGCAGUGGAGGGAGUUGUUUGUUCAAGAAUCUAGCUUGCCGUUCCCUGUUCUAGGAGGAACUCCCUUUUCCAUUGUCCUACAUGGUGACAAACAAAUGGACCUUGGAGAGAUUUUCAUUCAGACAGCUGUAACAUUUCAGUUCCUAUUUCCUGUAGAUGUGGAUUUGGAGGCUGGAAUUUGUCUUAUGCGUUGGGCAUUUUCAGGUAUGUUUGCUAAGCCUUGGCAUUUCUCUGACAAUGCCAUUGCUUUUACUGAUGGACCUGGUUGCUAUUUGUUUUACUGUUGAUUUCUUGGAUUCUCCCCAAAAUGGUACCCAGAGCUCUUAGACAGUCACCAUCAGUGAUUAGUCACCAUCAGUCUAGUUUUAGUUCUCACUGAUUCUUCCUUAGCAAUCAGACCUUUAAGCUCUGCCUCACCCCCCAGCCAUAUGGACCUGGAACUGGGAAACUGGGCUGUAGUCAUGGAGAUCCUAACCAUUUGUGGUGGUGAAAAUUCCUGGGGAUGCAUUUUGUAGAAGAGUUCUAAUCAUUCUCUUUGUUAGAAAAUGUGCAUACAGCAACAAGUAUUUGCAAGGGAUCCUUUGGUUCUCUGGUCUACCUGUAUCCCAAUCUCUCUUCUCAUUCUGCUUUCCACUUGUACUAACUUCAGCAAAGGAGACUGACACAUGUAUGAUGUCAAAGGCUUGUGGUUAUUUGCUCUUGACUAUUUUGGAGUACCAGAUGAAGGCAAAAAGGAUGACUGAGCAAGGACUUAAUCUUAUUUCCUCUCUGCUUCCAGAACUACCAGAUUAGUUUGAGGAGUAUCCUUUUCUUGUAUAAUCUGGUUGAAGAUUGAAAGUAGCUAACACCCUCCAAGAUUCUGACAUUCUUUUCCUUAUUCCCUAAAACCCUAUACUUGAUACUUACAUGAUUUGAGUUCUAAGACACAUUAAGCAUCUUCCAAUGGGCGUAUUUGCUGUCAAGCAAUAGGUUUUGCCUUUUUUCCUAGCCUUGAAUGGAAAAUUCUCCACCUCACUUCAGCUCAGCCAAUAUCACAUUUUAAGGUCUGUUGUUUAUGAUACUCCACUUUUGGGCAUCAAAUAUUUUAUUAGUUAAAGUUUACUUUGGUACACAUUAUAGAAAUGUGUACCAAUGGCUUAAAUAGAAGGAACUUAAGGAAUUUGGCUUCCACAGUUAAGUCAGAAAUAUAGUUGUCUUCAAGCAUGUUAAUUAUAAAAGUUCAGUGUUGAGACCAGGACACAGGAUAGGUAGCUAUUUAUCAAGCAAAAGGAAAUGGAUACAUAACACUUCCCAUCACCCUGUUGCUAACAGCCUCCAGGAGAGGGGAAAGAUUGCACUUUCCAAUAUAAGCAAUCACCCCCUGUGUCUCUCUUCCUUGGUUACUUUUGGUCAUGUAGGCUGCCGCAGUGUGGCUGGGCAAAAUAACCGGGGGUGGGGGGUGGGGUGACAAGCAACUUGUGAAGGUUGAAACAGCGGGAGCCCUUUAUUGUAGGACAGCAGAGGUAUUUAUACCUAACUCAUUAUACACAGCUUGUUUCUAUUAACAUCAUCUAGAUACAUCAAUUAGUCAUUAAGGAAUCCUCAUCAUCUUAAUAAUUACACACAGCUUAACUUAAUUAUCAUCUAGAUACAGCAGUCAGUCAUUAAGGAAUCUCCAUCAUCUUAAUGGCUCGCUGGCGUUACUUCUCAAACCACUCCUCCUGGCAAAGUGCCAGGCGCCAUCUUGACUUGUCUGUGGCCCUCAACAGUAGGCAUGAAAAGAAACCUAAGAUCUAUAAAGGGGCAGGACGCCCCUGCUCACUAGGGCACCAGCUUUGGGGCCCCCUCCUCUCUGAAAGAAAAUCAAUCUCAAUCUCUCUCUCAUGCUUUAUCUCAAGCACUUUCCUAUGCAAUAAAAGUGCUUUAUGCUUACUUCCUGUUUUCACACAGAGUAUUUAAAAUAGGUACACUCAUUGAAAUUUAAAUAACUUUUUUACUCCUUCAUCAUCAAAGACAUUCUUAAAUGAGGUUUGCACUUUGUCUUUUCCCUGCAAGUGCAUGGCAGUGAAGGAUAUAGCUAUAGGUACAGUUUAGCCCCACUUCCUUGACUUAUGCUAAGACACCAGCAGCUUUUUUGUGUCAUUAAUAUAAAUAUCAACAUAGUGAACAAAGGCAAAUAACAUCUCAGUAUUUUAAAGAAAAUAAUUUUGACCACACAAUCCCUCUGAAAGAUUCUCAGAGACCCACAAAAAUCUGAAGAUCACACUUUGAGAACCACAGCCUUAUUUCCUAAGAAUGGAAAUAAAGAUAUUUUAUUAGGAUUCACAAUAAAAAGACCCAGGAGUAUGAGUUGCUACUUUGGCUUGUCCACUGAUUUUUUUUUCUCAAAUUUAUUAUUUGUUCUUUUUAGCUAUACAUGACAUUAGAAUGUUUUUUGACAUAUACUUACAUGGAAUAUAGCUUCCAUUCUUGUGGUUGUACAUGAUGUGUAGUUACACUGGUCAUGUAUUCAUAUAUGAACAUGGGAAAGUUAUGUCCUUUUCAUUAUACUGUCUUUCUUGUUCACUGAUUUUUAAUCUGUCAUUUUUGUCAUUGUAAUACUUCAUCUCAAGCAACUUUGAAAUGCUCGUUCUAAAUUUUCCUUGAGAAAUGAAGAAAGAAAGUCAAUUUAAUGGAAAUAGUUAAGGCAUAAAAUAUUGAUUCUUAGAAAAUCUGUGUGUUUGAUAAAUUCUAAAAUUGUCUUAUUUAUUUAUUUAUUUAUUUAUUUAUUUUUGGUAUUAGAGAUAGAACUCAGGGACACUCAGUCACUGAGCCACAUCCUCAGCACUAUUUUUUGUAUUUUAUUUAGAGGCAGGUUCUCAUGAGCUGCUAAGCACCUUGCUGUUGCUGAGACUGGCUUUGACCUCACAAUUCUCCUGUCUCAGCCUCUGGAGCUGCUGGGAUUACAGGUGUGUGCCACUGUACCCAGCUAAAAUGUUUUAUUGUUUAAGAAAUUUAAUUUUGAGGAAUAAUAUUAAUAUUUUGAUAUUUAGUUUUUAUGCUAUAGUAUAUAAAAUUUUAAUUUCUAUGAAAUGACUCUUUAUAAAUAUUUGUAACUUAAUUUUCAUACUUAUAAAAUAUUUAUUGAAUCAUAUACUGAUUAGUUUUUAGAAAUAGAGAAAUCUAAAGUUGGAUUUCGACCAUACCAUUUGCCAGCCAAUUGAGCAUGGAUUUUUAAUGUCCUUGAGCCUCAGUUUCCUCAUUUAUAGAAAACCGGGGCUAUUUUAUAUGAAUAGUAUAAUGGCAUAAUAAGUGUGAAACAGUGUUUUGCUGGCCACAUAGAAGGCACUCAAUAAAUGCUCACUUUCUUUCUUCCAUUCAUUUACUGUCCCUGUUCAUACUUAACAAGAGUGACAAGCACUGGACUGCAGUCUCACAUAGUAGAGGGAGUGUUGAUCUUUCUCCAUUUACUUCUAACUGAACACCCAAGCUGCUGUGAACCAUGCUUGGGGAGCAGACUUGUUUUGAAGCAGAUUAAGAUUCAGAUUAUAAUUGGGGACUUUUCUGUAGGAGUAGGAUCUUUCUAGAGAUACCUCAAAUAGAACAACUUUUGUUGCUAUCUUUUUGAUGUAAUUUUUUUCUGAUGAAAAGAUAUGAAAAAUGUGGAAGGGAAUUAAGAGUAAAAACAAGAAAGAAGAGUGAUAUGGUGGGGAGUUUUGUCAUUGUUGUUUUUCAGGUUUCAGGUUUUAUUUUUUUAAUACCAUAAGCUUUUUUUUCUAAUAGCUAAUACUGUUUUUCCUCAAAGAACAGCAUCAUAUAAUUAUAACAUGAAAACUGAAGCAUUAUUUGAACAUCCUAAAAAUCGUAUUAUCUUUACUAUUAUAAAUUUAAAAAUAAGAGAGCACCAAUGCCCCUAUAUCAUGAAGAGUUAGAAACUAGAAUUAUAGAAUUUUAUUUCUCACUGCUUAAACUCAUGAGUAAUGUUGCCGUCACAAGAGCAUUCCUACAGUAGUAGGUUCUACCUUAAUAAUACUUGGCAGCUCUCGACUCCUUUUACUGCUGAAUAUAUAAACAAAAUGUUAGAAGAAGUCAUCACAGUCUGAGGCAAAAAGAAUUGUUAAGCACUCGAUCAAUUUUUUUUUUUAAAUAACAAGCCAAAGAGCACCCAGAAUGACUUAUUUAGCAGCCAGAAAGUGUUUUUUAUUGAACAACUGUAAAAUAUACUGGGAGGUGCUGGUAUAGCUGUUAAGGGUAAUAGUUAAAAUAGUUAAAAAGGCACAUAGCUAAAUGGAAUAAGAUGGACAUCAUAUACAAACACAUACACAUAUACAUAUACAAACAGAGAACUUGUGGGAAAUAUAUGUAUGUGUGUCUGUGUGUAUGAAUACACAUGUAUAUACACAUAUAUAUACACAUAUAUAUACAUACAUACACAAAUAUAUACAUAUGUGUUUGUAAAAUAUAUAUAUUUAUAUGUAUAUAUAUGUAAUACACAGAGAUGGGGGGGAGAGAGAGAGAGAACUAUAGGAAAUUGCCAAUCUAAUUUCCCUUUCUUUGGGAGUUUUCUAAACUUUAACUUUAUUCAGCUCUGGUUUAAAAUGCAUAAAUAAAUUUAAAAGUUAAAUAGUAUAAAUUAAAAUAGACUGGUAAUCUGAUUUGAAAAGAUGACUUGCCAAACAGUUUCGGGAGGCCUGCGUUCUAGUCCUAAUUUUCACUCAAAAAAAUUUGUAAAUUUACUGUUUGGUACUGAAUGUUUGUGUAUCCCCAAAAUUCAUAUUGAAGCCCCAACCCUAAUGUGAUUAUAUUUGGGCCUUUGGGAGGUAAUUAACUUUAGACAAAUUUAUAAGGCCAGAUUCUCAUGUUGGAAUUAGUGUCCCUGUAAGAACAGGAAGAAACAGAAACUCACUUUCUCUCCCCCAUAUGUGGACACAACAAAGUGACCAUCUUCAACCAAGAAGCACAUCCUCACAAAAACCUGACCAUACUGGCACCUUGAUCUUGGACUUCCAACUUGCAAAAGCAUGAAACAUAAAUUUCUGUUGGUUAAGCCAGCUAGUGUAAGUUAUUUGUUCGUGGCGGUAUGGGCUGAUUAAUAAUACUCAUUCAAAUCUCCUUGAAAGGAAAUCGAGGCACCAGGAGAUGGUCGAGUGAAAAAUGAAAGACUGAGACCAGGCAGAGAUACACAUAAGAGUUUAUUUGUCAGAGAUGACAAAUAAAGGCACAUCUCUCCAUAGAUGCAGAGAGGCAAAACAGGCUUGGGGUUCAGGACUUUUAUGGGGCAGGCUCAGAGAUUAUGCAGGUGGUUAAGGGUGGGGUUGGCAUGAGGGAGUGGUGAUAUGCCUUUGGGCAGGAAAGAAUGCAGGCAGUGAAAGGUUGGGCUGGUAUGAGGGAGUGUGAGCCUUUUUCAGAUAUGCCCUUGUGUGGGAAAGGGAAAUGGCAGUUGUCACUUAAGAUGGCGGUCCAGAUGCUAAGCAAGGACCUUACACACCUAACUUAUUUUAGCCUCAGUUCUAUAAUUUAUAAAAAUAACAGGAUCCUAUUAAAUAAUUUUUUAGGUUGAUUCUUGUGCUGGAAUUUGAAUUGCAGUGUACUCUGAUAGUUUAAUUGUGGUGGGGAGAACUUGAGACUGUUUGAAAUUUUGAGUAUUUCUAAAGCAUUGCAUGUAAAAACAUGAAGAAGGCACAAUAAAUUUCUUUGCUAUUUUAUACUGGAACUUGGAAUACAGCUUGAAGUAGUCUUUACUUUGGAUUCAUAAUGUCACUGUCUCUGUGAGAUUCAGCAUUUUUUAUUGAAAAUGAGAAUUGUCUCUCAUCUUGCAAAGAUGUUAUUUGAAAUUGUCAUUUUGUCUAUUAUUUGGAUUCCUUUAAUGGAUAACAUUUAUACUCAGUUUUACUGCUUAUCUUUUCUCUUUAAAGCUAAUCUAAUAUAUUCUCAUUUUAUUAGUGGAAACCCUAUUAGUUUAUCUCUAAACUAUCACAAAAAAGUAAAUAUUUUUAAAUAUUGAAUUCCUUAACCACAUUGAUAUUCCAAAAUAAAAAGGCUCAAAGAAUUCCUAAUUUAAAGGGAUUAGAGAAAUUUGAAUUUUGAUCUAUUUAACUCUCACUUGUAUCAUUUACUUACAACACUUUCAUCAACACUUGAAUAACAUUUCACCACAGGUACAAACCUGGCAGAAAAGAAUUCCAAGUUUCUACAACAAUUGAAGUUUAUCAGUUAUCAUGCUGUGCUUAUAAAUAUUUUGUUGGCUUAAAACCCCAGAAUAUUUAAUUGUUAUUUUCAUCUGUUUGCAAAGAACUAGCUGCUUUUAAAACUUCAAUCCAGAUAAUGUGGAAGUAUCAACAGCUUCUAGUUGGUUUUAUUGAAAUCAGUUCAUCAGUACAACAGCUCUUUUUUAUUAACUACUAUUUUAAUGUCUUAUGCUAUGCUAGUGAAGAGCUGCCUAUUAUUGACAGUAAAAGUACUCAUCAUGUUAUAAUACAGAUUCUUGUAUGGCUGUAUUUAUCAAUUCUAAUAGCAUUAAAGUAACAUAUUAGAACUAGAAAAAUAACCACCCAUAAUCCAAUCAUUUAUUGUUUCAGAGUUCCAAGGGUAAUAUGUUCCAAAAGACCCUCACCCACUUAGCUCCUUCCUUAUGAAACCUACAAUGAGGAAGAUCCAUUUGACAUACAUAACAUUAAUAACAUACAUGUGAGCAUGAGGGAACACACUAUAUCAGUCUUUAAGGGUUUUGAAAUCUUGAAGGUCUUAAAAUCUGAUUGGCCCUUUGAGGUCAUUCAAAUUAUGCUAAGCAAGUUUUUAUUCUCUCAAAAUUUAUAAGGCUAGCCAAAAUUUAUUUUUCUUGCCAUAAAGAAUAACCAAAAUUUAUUUUUCUUGCCAUAAAGGAAAACUGGUGUGGGAAUCGGCCAAAAUAGAUUUCUGCUACAAAACUUCCAUUUCUUAUAUAUUUGAGGCUCGCUUAGAAAAUAUACUAUAAUUAUCAUUUUUCACAUAUAUAUGAAAAUGAUAAUAAUACUAAUUAUACUAAUAAUAUGAACAAUAAUUAUGAACACUAUAUUGAGUAGAAGUGUAUUUAUUAUGCCAUUAUAAUUUCUUAUUUUAUAGUUUGCUUCAAAAAUAUUUAUCAUCUGAAAUAACAAAUAAAUUAUAUUAAAUGUGGAAGAUAAUUAUCCCAAGAUGAAAAUUAAUGUAAACCAUCUAUUAUAAGAGAGGUAACAGAAAAUAAUACAAAAUAAUUCAGAAUCCUGCAUAACUUCUUCUUUAUUUCCAUCAGCUUUAUUCAAAGGUAAUAUAUACAUGACAAGUGUUUCUGUCCUGUUUAGAAGAUAGGAAAACCGAGACAAAAAUAUUUAAAUAAAUUACUCUAGAAAAAAAUGUAAGUGAUUCUCAUGAAGAUCGUGUUCAUAGUUUAGUUCAUACAGGUCCUUGUGCAUGUUUAUCAUUUAUCUUUGAGGAUUAUUCAAAUAGUACCAUGAAAAGAUAAACCCAUAUUAUUUGGUAAGUAAUGGUUUCCUUAAUAAAUUUCUAAUGCAAAACAAAAGUAGUUCUUCCAAAUUUCCAAUUUUAAAUGAUAUGAAAGAAGACCUGAUGUCAUGGAGUUCUGACGGUUUUUUUAAUUGGCAUGUGCAACUGUAAGAAUGGUUAAAAUUAGGGAAAAUUCAAAUUGACUUCUGAUUAUAUUCUCACCUGUUGUAUAUUAUAAGAACAAUUUUUAUGGUCUAUGGAGAACUGAGCUACAGGUAUCUGACAUCGGUACAUGAGAGCUAAACUCAGGGAGGCCCAGAGCUAACAGGAAGUAGAGAGUCACUGAGUCAUGUCAUGGGAAUUCCUGGCUAGUGAGCUUUGAUAACAUUCAGAUAGACCACACUGCUGAUUUUGGAAGAUUUGUUGUGGGAACCCUACGUAUUUACUGUGUUUAAAUAGUCUGGGCUAUUUAUUUCUUUUUAUUUUUCUUUUCUUUUUAUGCCAUAGCAGAGAAAACCUUGGCAUCGUGGUCUCUAUAGAAAAUAUUGUGUAAGCUCUCUGCUUGGCAGUUGUCCUAAGUGAUCAACUGCUCACUCUUGUAUAGGAGGCAGAACCAUAGCAGAAGGGUGUGGCAAAGGAAAGCAGCUCAAAACUUGGCAAGAGGAAGGAGAGAUCUCUGCUCACCAGGGACAAAUUAUAUACUCCAAAGGCACACUUCUAAGCACCUACCUCCUUAAGCCACACCUUACCUGUAUACAGUUCCCAACCAGUUAAUCCCUAUCACUUUAUUUUAAUUCACUGAUUAGGUUAAGGCUAUUCUAACCCAAAUAUUUCACCUCUGAACUUCCUUGCAUUGUCUCACACAUGAGGUUUUGGGAGACACUUUAUAUCUGACUAUAACCGCAGGUAAAAUAUAUAGUAUGCUCAAUGGCAAUAACUGCAUUGGGCGAAAAAAUAAAGCCAGAAAGAGGGGUAGUGAGUUGGUGCAGGUGGGGAUAUGCAGUUGCAAAGCAAGCAGUUGGUGAAUGCUGCACUGAGAAGAUGCGUUUAGAAUUGGUAUUCCAGAAUCCUAGCUCUUUCUGCCCUCUGUUAUAAAAGGACAUUUGAGGUGAACAGCUAACCCUGGGUAGUUCAAUAUCUUGAUGAGUACAUUGUCCCCCACAGUAGUUCUGCCUUUUUGGGUUUACUACUCUGUCUGCUGAGGAACUGACAACAAGUCAUUCAGGGUCACAUUGAGGAGGGCAUUAAUAUGGCACCACUUUAUUGAUUCUCUCAUUGCCCUUUUUCACUAAAUCUCACCUUUGAUCUUGAAUGCCUCCAGCCACUGGGCAUUUUCUGUGAGUACACAACUGUAAAUUUGAGGGCUGAAGUGUUAGAAUCCUAGAUUUGGUUUUCUUAACUUAAUUUUUUUCCUUAUUUUCCUCUUUUGAAUAUACAACGUUUUAUAACAGUUGGUAUAGGAGACAAUUUUUUUAAAAAAUUAAUAAGCUUUAAUUUUUAGAGUAACUUAAAUUUGUAGAAAAAUUGAACAAAAAAACAUAGUUUCCAAAUAAUCUCCACUCCCACUCCCUCACUCACAGUGUCACCUAUUAUUAACAUCUUACUUUAGUAUGGUACAUUUGCUAUAAUUGAUGAACCAAUAUGAUACAUUUUUUAUUAAUAAAAAAUCAUUAUUAAUAUUAGCAUUCACAACUGUUUUAAUGUCCUAUGGGUUUAGACAAAUGCUUAUGCACUUUAUGGAUCAUAUAAUAACAAUUCCUUGUUCAUUCUGGGACCUGGGUGAGGGACUGAGGCUUGAUGAGUGUACAUCCAGAGUAAGGAGGUGUGUCCAUGUCUGAGGGGUGGUUCCCUAAGGAGGUUCUGCUUGCAAUAAUUGACUUGUGGUUCAUAAAGUUCAAGUGAUGGUGAUGAGCUUUUCAGAUGUCCCAACCCUGACCACACACUAAAUGCUGAUUCUCUCUGAGAGAUGUGAUCUGACUGUAAGUACCUGUGUCCCAAACAUCAUAAAACCUUAUUCAACAGAACAGAGAUAUCUGAGAAUAUCUAUGCAAUGAGAUGCCUGAUCCUUUGGUGGACCAUAUUUGGAGCAAGUGAGUAGAAUCACAGGGCACUGAAACUUUGAGUGCUCUUGGGCAACUUAACCUCUUUGAGCCUCAGCAUUUCCAAUUUAAAAAGGCAUAAGGAUACUAAAUUCAUAAUUAAUGAGAUAAACUCUAUGAAGGAACUAGAUCACUCAGUAAAUAGUAGCUGUAGUGUUAUACUAUUAUCCAACUUUUUUUUAAUUGGUUGUUCAAAACAUUACAAAGCUUAUGAUAUAUCAUCUUUCAUACAUUUGACUCAAUUGGGUUAUGAACUCCCAUUUUUACCCCAAAUACAAAUUGCAGAAUCACAUCGGUUACACACUCACAUUUUUACAUAAUGGCAUAUUAGUGACUGUUGUAUUCUGCUACCUUUCCUUUCCCCUACUAUCCCCCCUCCCCUCCCCUCCCAUCAUCCCUCUCUACUUCAUCUGCUGUAUCCAACUUUUCUUAUUGCCCCAUCUAAAGGAGCUCUUGUGUUGAGGUUUCUCAAAAGAAUCCCCUAGUAUAAUGGUGCCAAACUUUAUUCCUCAUCACAUUUGGGGGUAUAAUGGAAAGAGUGUGUUAGAUUCCAACUUUCUAUUUUAUUAUUUAUAAAAACAGAUGGCACCCAGUUUAAUUGAUUCUAACUUCUAAAUAUUAAUUUUUAUUUAAAGUUUACUGUAGUACAGAUGGUAAAUAUACUGUAGCAAGUAUGAAAUUUGAGAAGUUUGCAUAUAAUUAAAAAAGAUAAAGUGAGAUUGGGAAAAGUUUCCGUGGCAGGGCAAGGCAAGCAAUUCCUUGAGGGGAAGAUCUUAUAUGUUGAAAAGGAUAAGGGUAUUGCAGAAGACCAAGGUUAAUCAUGAAACCUCACACCAGAUUCUCACAUCCUCAGCCCUGAGUCUUGAGAAUUUCUCUCUCCCUUUUGGAGCCUUUACCUUGAAUAAACAUUGGAAAAUUGUACUCCUUUCUUUUCUAUUACAGACUACUUGAAAUAUAUAUUGAUAUCUUCUGUAUAUAUAAGGCAUGUAGCUAAAGUAACCUUAAAUAUUUUUAACAUUUGGAUUAUUUUCUAUGUAUAUAUGUGAAAUGAUAAUUAUAUAAGUUGGAUAAGUAGAGCCCAAAGACAUUGAAAAAGCAUAUCUGUUAUACAUAUGUUGCUAAUAACAACAAAAUUAACAAUAUUAGCUGCAACAACAACUACAUCAACAGCCUCAGCAGUUGCUAAGCUUUUUCUUACUUUGUGCAAGGAGAAUGCUGAGAGUUUUACUUGGAUUAUCUCAUUUAAUUUCCACAACAAGUCUACAACACAAGGACUAUGGAUGUCUACAUUUCCCAGAUGAAGAAACNAUUGCAUUUUCAGUUUACCAAGUAGGAGUUUUGGGGAAAAUUAGGCUUAAUUUGUAAAAUCUCUCAUAAUAAUUGAUUUUAAAUAAUGGAGAUCAGUUACUCCCUAUGUGAAUCUGCCAUUUUCUAUUUCCUGAAUUGCAAUGGUUUGCUUAUUCUUUCAUCUUUGAUAAUUAUUUAUCAAUAUUUAUAAUGUUUAUUUUUAAUUUUAUUCAAUUAUGUAUUUGCCAAUAAUUAUAAUUAUUAAACUCACAAGAAAUUCUUAGCACUUAGAGAUAUGGUACUCCAAGAAAAUUUUGAAAAUUAAAAAUCUACAUUUGUAGACUUAUUUUUGUUACAUAAAUAUGAAUAGGUGAUCUGUAAAAUGCUUUAUUGAUAUCCUUUACUUUAGGAUAAAAUUCUAAUGAGCAAGUAGAACUGAUUUUAAGGAAAAAAAAGGAAUACAACAGUUGUCCUUCCUUACUCUGGGGUACAUUCCAAGAUUCCCAGUAGAUACUUGAAACUGUGAAUAGUACUGAAACCUAUGCAUGCUAUGUUUUUUCCUUUACAUACAUACCUCUGAUAAAGUUUAACUUAAAAAUUUUUGUAUAAUUUAUUUAGGGAAGACAGGAUUGGCGCUUGAUUCUUUUUAUUUACUAUUUUUCAAAAUAAUUACUUUGUCCACUAGCAUUUUCCAAUGGUGUUACUGGGAAUUGUUUCAACAUAUUUGUAUAAUUUAAUCCACUGUUGUAAAUAUGUUGUUUUCCUUAAAUGUUUCCCUAUUUGGUCAAUGGAGGCCUCUUGAAGUUGGCUGCUGGUUCUUUUGUCAUAAAUAUUUUUCAUAGCUUCCUGCAGGAUUUCAAGUAUGCUAAGACUCUUCAGGUUUAUCAUAAACAUUGUCUACUUCAGACUUGAAAUAAGCCAUUUCUCUAAGGAAGUAUUUUAGUCAGCUUUUCUGCUGCUGUGACCAAAUGACCUGACCAUUACAACUGAAGUGGAGGAAGAGUUUAUUUGAGGCUCACAGUUUCAGAGGUCUCAAUACAUCGACAGCCAGCUCCAUUCCCCGAGGCUUGAAGUGAGGUAGAACAUCAUGGCAGAAGACUGUGGCAGAAGGAAGCAGCUCACAUCAUGAUCAGAAAGCAGAGAGACACUCCACUCACCAGAUAUAAAUAUAUACUCAAAGCCAUGCCCCAAUUUCCACCUCCUCCAACCACACCUUACCGCUUCAGUUACCACUCAGUUAAUCCCUAUUGAGGGAUGAAGUCACUGAUUGGGUUAAGAUUCUUGCAAUCCAGUCAUUUCUCCUCUGAAACUUCUUGGAUUGUCUCAUGUGAACUUUGGGGGACCCCUCACAUCCAAACCAUAACAGAAAGUCUCUUCCUUUUUAGUAAAAAUAUGGAAUUUGAAAAAUCACAAAUUAUUACUUUUAUUAGUACUAGGCUAGUCAUUGUUCCUAAAUCUUUGCUGUGGAUAGGUAUAAGAAAUAUAUAUCUGUGUAUAAAUGUAUUUAAAGAAAAAAUAAUAAUAAGUUCCUAUUCUUGAUUUCAAUUUAAAUUCAGUACUAUAGGAUUUCUACUUUUCUGCUUUGAUUUUCUGUAUUCUCUUUUCCCAUAGCAAGAAUCCUGGUUCUGAAAAACACUGUAAAUGAUAUAAUAUCAUGCAGUAGUCAUUCGUCUUAUUCCAUAGUCUAUACAAAUGAUUUCAGAAUUGAUAAUUCCAAUACUACUACUUUCUAUGUUAUAUUAGUACUGGAACUAGUUAAUAUUCUUUUUUUUAAAUUUUUAUUGUUGGUUGUUCAAAACAUUUCAUAGUUCUUGAUAUAUCAUAUUUCACACUUUGAUUCAAGUGGGUUAUGAACUCCCAUUUUUACCCCAUAUACAGAUUGCAGAAUCACAUCAGUUACACAUCCAUCGAUUUACAUAUUGCCAUACUAGUGUCUGUUGUAUUCUGCUGCCUUUCCUAUCCUCUACUAUCCCCCCUCCCCUCCCCUGCCCUCCCCUCUUCUCUCUCUAAGGAACUAGUUAAUAUUCAUUCUUGCUAAUUGUUUAGCUAGUUCCUCUCUGCAUGGUUAUAUCUGUUUAACCUAUAUACAACACGAAGUAAAACAAAUAAAUAAUAAAAACAAUCUAAAGAAAAAAUAAUCUCGACUUAAGUCGACCAGUAUAGGUAUACAUAGUAGUUGGGUUCAUUUUGACAAAGUCAUACAUGCAUGGGAGCUUGAUUAACUCCAUUUAAGUCCUUUUUUUUUCUCUAACUUUUCCUCCCUUCUUCCCUUUAUCUAUUCUCCUCCUUGUACUGAUCUUCCUUUUUGCUCAUUUAUUUAUUUCUAAUGGUACUUUUUACAUAUACAUUCAAGUGGAAUUCUCUGUGGUAUGUUUAUAUAUGUACAUAGCAUGGUAUUGUUAAAUUCAUUAUGUAUAUCCUCACCUUUCCCAUUCCUCCUCCCUUCCUCUUGCUCUUUUUCUACUCCACUGAUCUUCUCCAUAUCUUUAUGAUAUCCAUCCCCCCACCACUGGCUUUUAUUCCUCAUUUUGCUACAGCUUCCAUAUAUGAGAGAAAAUAUUUAACUCUUGAUUUUCUGAGUCUUGUUUAUUUCACUUAGCAGGAUGUUAUCCAUUCUCAUCCAUUUGCUAGCAAAUGCCACAUAUAUUUCUUUUUUAAAUGUUUGAUAAUGUCCUAUAAUUCUGUAGGAUAUUAACUUAAAAACGGAAUGUAAUGGAGUCCUAGUUUCUAUUCCUGUCCUUUUUACUCUAUUUUCUUCCUCCCUUAAUAGAUAACCUUUUUUAAAUUUUUCUUUAUUUUUGUACUGGGAUUUAAACCCAGGGUCUCUGUACUACUGAGUUAUAUCCCCAGUCCUUUGUAUUUGAUUUUGAGACAGGGUCUCACUAAGUUGCCCAGGUUGGUCUUGAACUUGGAAUCCUUCUGCCUCAGCCUCCUGAGUAGCUGGGAUUGCAGAUGUACACUACCAUACCAAGCCAAUAGAUAACCAUUUUAAACAAAUUGGACUAUCCUUCUAUCAUCAAUUUAAAUUAUAUAAUUAUAUAUAAUACACAUGUAUAUGUGUAUGUUAUAAAUAUAUAUACAUUUAUAUAUACACAUAAAAAUACACAUAUAUGUAUUCCCCCUUUCUUUAAUUAUAAUACUCUUAGCAUCCCUUAUUCUACUCUUGUUUUUUCAUUUACCAAUAUAUUUAAUUUCAUUUGACAAUAUAUCCUAGAGUUAACUCUGUAGUGCUACAUAUUUUUAUUUUUUUCCUCAACACUUUAGCACUCCAUUUCAUGGAUGUACCAUAAUUUACCCAACCUGACUCUUACUGUGUACUUUUGAGUGUUUUCAGUCCUUGGUUUUUACAACUAUUACUUCAAUGCAAUGUGCAUCUGUCUUUUUGCAUCUUUAUUCCUCUGUAUCCUUGAGAAAGUGGAAUCAAUGCAUUUCCAGAUCCAAAGGUAAGUAUAGUGGUAGUUUUGCCAAUUAUUGCUAAAUUCCCCUUCAUAAGAGUAUUUCAUAUUUACAUUCCCACCUGUAAUGUAUGCAAUACCUCUUUCCUCUUGCCAAAAAAAAAAAAAAAAGAAUGCUGUUCAAGUUUUGGAGUUGUACUAAUCUACUAGAUAAGAAGUGGUAUCUCAGUGUGGUUUUCAUGUGUUUUUAUCUUAUUUUGAGGAAAGUUGAUCAUAUUUUGUUUUAGUCAGCUUUUUCACCCCUGUGACCAAAAGACCUGAAAAGAAUAAUUUUUAAGGAGGAAAAGUUUAUUUGGAGCUCAUGGUUUCAGUCCAUAGACCUUUGCUCUUGGCCUGAGAUAAGGUAGAACUUCAAGGCAGAAGGGCAUGGUGGAGGAAAGCAGCUCAGGACAUGACAACGAGGAAGCAGAGAGAACUCUGGCUCACAAGGGACAAAAUGUGUACUCUUAAGCAUGCCCCAUCCCACCUCCUCCAGCCACACCUUACCUGUCUAGAGUUACUACCCAAUUAAUCCCUAUCAGAGAAUUAAUGCACUGAUUAGUAGGAUAAACCUCUCAUAAUCCAGUCAUUUCACCUCUAUGCUUUCUUGCAUUGUCUCACACAUGGGCUUUUGGGGACAUCUCCUAUCUAAAACAUAACAUCUUUUUAUAUGAUUAGAAGCCAUUUGUAAUGUGAUCCACAUCUUAAUGAACCACAUAUCACUUCUGUGUUGCAUUGCUCCAUAGAUGUUUAUAUUUUAUCCUCUACUUUUAGAAACUCCUUACAUAUUAGGACAUUAAUAAUUUGAAUGUGAUAUACUGCAGAUAUAUUUUCCAAAUUUGUCAUUUGACAUUUACUUCAUUUUUAAAAGUAGGUGAUGAUGGAAAUCAAAUUACUAUGGAAUUAAAUUCCACUGGACACUUUGAAAAAAGAAUUUAUUAUAAAAUGUAAUAUUUUAUCAUAUAUUUGACUUAUAUUCUUUUCUACUGUUAAAUAUGUGUUUUAAAGAUUUUUUAGGAGAUACAAGAAGAGGUACCUGAGGAAAAUCAUUUGAAGGUUACAGAUCCUCAUGAGUAACUUCUUUAGUUUGGCACCAACAAAAGAGCCUGGGCAGAUAUCAGGAAAGUUUAUAUGACUUUGUAGUCUGAAAGUUGAAGUUCAGACUUUGCUGAGUCACCAUAGGCAGGUUUCUAAACCGAUUUGAGCCUUGAUUUCCUCAUACAUAAUAUAUAAAGAUAUUCAUGUAUCUCCCACAUGGGGUCAUUAUGAAGAUUAAGUUAUAUAAUGUCAAUGUGCCUAAAAUAUACAUAGUAGUCCUUAAAUAUUUUUAUGCAAUGUAAGCUUAAAAAAAUAAAAGACAUAGUUAGCUUUAUCAUACUGUCAGUUAUCCAGGAUCAGAUUAUGUUCCUAUGAAUUUAUGAUUUUUCUGCUUAUUUUUCACAGUCUAAAAAGAAAGACUAAAAAUGCUAAUACAUUUGUAUGGUGAUGUUUAGUAUGUCAUUCGUUUCUUUAAUAAUACCUCCUUUAGGUGGGUAGUGUAUAUCAGUUACUAUGAUAAAUAUAGAUAUUUGGAGAUAAGACAUGAUCCCCACCUGCAAGGAACUAUCAGUGAAAUAGGCUAAUGAGUGAACAAACGUAGCAAAAGCAGUGCUGGUUUUGCUGACAGAAGUAUUUAUACAUUGUUGUGGACGCAUAGAACUCUUAACCUGAGAGAGACAAAGAAAUAAGAUCAAAUCAGAUAUCUUAAAUCAGAUAAAUAAUAUAAAGAAUGAAUAAAAGUAAGUAAGAUGACAAAGGGUGUGGUAGGAAGAGGAAACAGGUGGGCAAAUAUUCAAGAGUUCAGAGCCUGAGAGCUGCUGUACCUUAAGUAUAGCUGGAGCACUAUAUAUACUUGAGAGUGACCAAGGUGGGCCUAGAGAUGAAGUUGGAAACUGGGUCAUGGAGGGAAGUGCAGGUCUUACCAAGGAACUUGAAUUAAUAAUGGAGUGUUGUCAGCAUGAAAGUGUCACCAUCAGACUUGUGUUGUUCACAGAUUACUUUGGCUGCAUUAUGAAGAGUUGAUUGGAAGAAAAAUUACAUAUAAGACUUCUGUGCUCAUUCAUCCAGUUAUUUAACAAGAAUUUAUUGAAGUCCUUCAUAUUCCAGGCCUGUGCUAGACACUGAGAAAUCCUAAAUGAAGGCAUUGUCAAUAUGUUUAGACAAUUUGUUGACAUAGCAGAGAAUGGGUUUGUUGUGUUGGGAGAGGUAUUAUGAAAUCUGGUUUAUGUGUCUAGAUUGUGUUUGAGGAGGAAUUUUCCUGUUCCAACUUGUUUUUAACUAUUUGAAGUACUUUUUUGCAUUUCAAUAAAAGACUAUAUUUGUAAGAAUAUACCUUUAAACUUGCACACCUAGUACACCUUGAUACAAACAAUAUAUCUACAUAAUCAGCAUUUAGUUCAAGAAAUAGAACAUUUCCCUUCAUGUUUCCUUCUAGUCACCAACAUUUCACAAUUUAUAAAAACAUAGAUUUAGGUGUUUUGUGCCGCAGUCUGGCUGGGCACAAAAUCACGAGCCACCACACAGCUUGUAGAUUCAAACAGCAACUCUUUAUUCCCGAACUCACACCAGCCGUCUACAAUCACGUUCUGGGGAAAUCCACGUUCUCUGCCCAAAUCCACCCCCACUGGGCUUCUGUCUCCCCAAAAAUACUGUCUGAAUCCCGUGAGAACUCAAGGGGAACUCAGGCAGCAGGAUACGCCCUAUUCCCAGCAGGAAUAACCUUAAACCUGGAAUGUCCUAAACCGGGAACGCCCUAAACCCCGAUUAUCCUAAACCGGGAACACCCUAAACCCGGAUCCGCCCUGGUCCUUGAGCAAGGUCACCUACAUGCAAUGUCACUGCAAAAUGUCCUAUUUCCACGAGUCCUUCCACUAAGCAACAUGGGGUAUGCUGGCAAGGAAAUUGUCAUACCUACUUGGCUAAUGGCUCCCAGCAGUUUUGUUUUGUUUUGUUUUUGUUCAUUAAAGUUAAGUGGUAUGUAUUCUUUUGUGUCAUCUUCUUUAGUUCAACAUUAUUUUUAUGAUAUUCAUCUAAAUUAAUGUAUGAAUCAUAUUUAUUCAUUCUCAUUGCUGCCUAGUAUUCCAUUAUAUGACUAUAUCAUACUUUAUCAUUCUACUUAGAUGAAUAUGUAUAGUUUCUAAUUUGGGGUUAUUUCAAAGAGACAGUUCCUAGUAGCAUUCAAGUGUAUGUUUUUGAUGCACAUACAUUCCUGGGUCCAUCUAGGAGUGAAAUUAUUAGGUCAUAGAAUAUAUCUAUUCAGUACUACAUGUUUUUUUUCUGGUGCUUUUACUAAUUUGAAUUCAUACUUCAAAUUUUGCUAGUGUUUUAAAUUUUAAUCNGGGUAAGAAAAAUGAGAAAAUAUGAUGAGUCACUAUGAGGAGAUUGUAACAAACUUAUAGCCCUUUCACAUUUUUUUAUCUUGAAUUAUUACUUCUCUAAUAGUUCAAUCUGAAGUGUUUCCUAUCUCUUUUGGAAUUUUAUGUUAUUUAUUGUCUAUGCUAGAGCUUUCCCAACUUUUUCAACUUAAGAGACUUAGGAUUUGGAGAAGUUGAAAGUAAUAAGCUGAGGCUGUAACAACCUCAAACCCACAGGUGGACAUGGGUGCUGAGGGGAUUAAGAUCUUGGCCUAUGAGUAACCCAUUUAUGGCACAACCAUUAGAAAGUUCUACUUUAUAACAUUAAUUUCAAGGUUUUGUUUUUAGGUAUUAUUAUUUAAUGAAUUAACCAGUGCUUCUCAAACUUUGGUAUAUAUCGUAACAUCAUAAGCAAUAUCUAAAAAGCUUGUUAAGCACAAAUUUCUGCAGUCUACUCCCAGAUCUUUGGAUUCAUAAGGUCUGGGAUGAGGUCCAAAAAUUGUGUUUCUAACUGUGAUGCUUAUGCUACUGGUCCAGGAACCACAAAUUUGAGAAACACUGCAUGCACCUUGUAACUCUCAGCACAGAACCUUCGUAUAUGGUUGCAUCUCAAUGGCAUUAAUAGCAUUUAAAGUUUGAAUGUUUAAAUGAGUCAACAGUAGAUGAAAAAAGUCAUAAUUUCAAUUUAUUCUUAAGGAUUUGUAUAGAUAGACACCCAUUGCUCCAUGAAGAUGUCUUUUACUUUUCAAGGUAGAAUUCUCCACCCUUCCUUUAUAUUAUUGCUGAAAUUUAUACAUACAUUCAGUUGUGUACUCACACAUUAUUUUGUAAUUUUUACUUACAAGUAUGUCUAAAAACUUCAUAUUUUUGAGCCAAAUAGGUUUAUAUAGCUUCAAAUGUGAGUUCUUAUACUUAUUGUCUCUAAAACUUAGCAACUUACUUAUAGCUCUUAGUGUGAGUUCCUAGUUUUAAGACUGUGGAUGAUAUUGUGGACCUUGUGAGCAUUAUAUGAGGCUCCAUUGUGGAGCCUCAGUAGAUGAUGGUGCACCUUCUUUUUCACAUACCAGAUUCAUAGUAUUCUACUAAUAAUUGUACCCCAGUGCUUGGUACCAUGAGUUGCACUCAUUUGAUAAAUGAUGAGUCAAUAAGCUAACAAGUCCAAGUACACCUAUGAAUCUUAAUUAUUUCUGGUUUAAUUUUUUAUAACCUCCAGUUUCCUUCAGUUUAUGAAAAAUAUCACUGAGUUCCUGAGGCCAUGUCAGACUAAUUCAGGGACUACCUAAAAACUGCCUGAAUUUGGGGUAGAUUGGUCUCUUCAUAUCCUUUUAACAAGAAGAAGUCAAAGUUUCCUUAAAAUCUAGACAAUUUUACAUUUCUCUUGGACAUGAACGGGCUAAAAUGGGUCCAAGGUCUAUGGAGAAACCAUAGAAUGAGUACAUAAUAAUUUGUCUACACCUAUUUUCCUUAAUGUUAGACCUGCUCCUCACUUAUUGGACUUAUCUUUGCAUAUACUUGAUUCUAAACCAUUCUGAAUGGAUUAGAAAAGUUAGGUACCUGAAAGUGUUUCUUGGGUGCAUUUUUGCUACAUGAUAGAUUGGUGAAAGUUUAAUAUUGAGAACUGAGCAAUAAAAUUUCACCAUCAGUGUAUGUCAGUGGUUCUUAAUCUGAUAGUUUUAUUCCCUAUUCACUACCUCAAUUCCAGGAGAACUGGCAGUGUUUGGAGGUAUUUUGAGUUGUUACAUGUCAAAGCCUGAGAGAGGGCAUUGCUUGCAUCUAUCCAGUCAACAGACAUCACUGAUGUUGCUAAAUGUCCUACAAUGUAGGAGACAGAUCCUUGAUCCAUACCACCAUUAUGAUAAAUAAUUUUCCAAUGACAAACGUCAAUAGUGUGGAGACUGAGAAAUUAUGGUAUAUGUUUUUCUUUUUUAUAAUUUAAUUUUGGAAAUUAAUUAUAAACCAAUGGAAAAGUUCUAAAUAAAAAAGACUUGUUAUAAAGAGCAAAUUUAAAAAAUGGCUAAAUUGAUGCUCUUGAAGACUACACAUAGCAAAGGAAGGUACCAUCUAUUUUAUAAUUCAAUAAAUGACAAGGAGAGUGUACUAUGUAAUUUCACUUCACUUCCCAAGCUUUUAUCUUAGAAAGGAAUUAACAUAGGUAGAUAUUGUAUCUAUGUCCAAAUGAUUGGCUUUAAAAGCAUUUAUAAUGAAAGAUUAUUCUUUUUCUAUUCUUCUCUUUAUUUCCUAUUUGAGCCAAAUGGAAAAAAGUAAAUUUAGUUUGAAAAUGUCUAUAAUGCAGCUUGGCCUUUUAGUGCUGCAAAGAUUUGUCCGUUUCAAAAGAGUCCUUGAGCAUUUCUCAGGAAGGUCAUUUUGUUUUGCUUUAAAAAAUGAAAAUAUGUUGUCUGCAUUGCGUAUAGGCAUAAAAUCAGUUGGUCACAUGACUCUUUUCCCCCUAAGGAGCCAAAAAAGCAGGGAGCUAAUGUGACUGAAUUGUGAAUGCACCACUCUGGUAAUCAAUUAUUUCUAAAACACAGCCAUGCAUGUGUUAUAUUUUAGAAUGGAAAGAGCCCUUUGAGAGAACAUUAGAUAUUCCCUCCUAUUCUGAAGUAGAAGUUGCUUUGUGAAUCUAGCAAAUAAAAAAGAAUUGGAAGUUUAUUUAAAUUGAUCUGUGUGCUUGGAAGCUAUGGAUGAAAUACUGUGAAUCAGCCAUGACUGUAAUGCAUUUGCAGGAAUCGGGUGCUGCUAUCUGCCUGCCUGGUUUCUAUUUGGCACACCACAGAAAGAUCUUUACAGCAUAUCUCUGCUGUCUGCCACUCUUUGUGACUAUAUGGUGAGAGCAAUUUCACACUCUUUUGUCUUUUCUAUGAAAAAAGCAGAAGUGUCUGACUGAACAUUUUAUUCAUAUUUUAAGAUCAUCACAGCAGUGACUUGUUCAAAACAAUGUAGCCAGUGCUUCACGAACAUCCAUUCUUUCCCCUCAUCCCUAUCCUUUCUGGAAUGUUUUCCUUGGGAUGUCUCAGAUCAGGUGAUCCAGAUCCUAUAUUUGGCUCCAUCAUUACCUCAUCAUAUGGGAUUGGACCAAACUCAACUCAAAUGUCUCAAUUUCCUCUUAUAUAAAAUGGGUUAAUAAUGCCUGCUCUUGUUAUCUCACAGAAUUAUUGUGAGCAACUAAUACACAUAGUAAAUAUUUUGACCUCUCUCUGCUCUAAUAUUUCUUUUCCAAUGUCUCUUUCGCAGUCACAUACCUAAUGUCUAUGAGAGUAUCAGUAAACACCACUCCUUAAAUACCUGUUGAAUGAAACAUAAGCUAUUUCAAUUUAAUAAUUCUUUCUGCUAUUCAUAGUAAGGGGCAUUCCAUAUAAACUAAACUUUCAGUGAUUCAAUGAGCCAAAAUGUUAAAAACAUCUUUGAAAAUGAUCUAAAGACAAAAAAAAAAAAAUAGAGCAUCUGAACUUUAAUUCUUAAAGUUACUUUAGUUCAUUGUUUAUAGGGGAAAGUGGUCAUAUAAUAUGGAUUAAGAGCUGGGCCUGGGAAUUAGGCUAUUCUCAGUUGACCACUAAUUCUGAAACUUACCUGUGGCACUGUGUAAGUUUCUUAAAUGAUAUAAACUUCAGUUUAUGUGUGUCUGUGAAAAAUGGAAAACUAAUAAUACAUUGCUUAUUGUAUUAUUCUGAGGGUUAAAUGAGGUAAUUUGUACAAGUGCUUAGCAUGAUUCCUGAUAUGUAGUAAUUAUACAUAUUAGGGUAGGCCUAUCUGUGGUAACAAAUAUGUCCCCCAAAUAAAUACUGAUUUAGCUACAACAAUUUAAGACUUAUAUUCUUAUUUAGGAGGUUGCUUACUUUUAUAUAAUGUUCAGGAAUUCAAUUCCUUUCUUUUAAAGACCCUGCCUUUAUAUCUAAAUUAGCAAAAUAGGAAGAAGAGGAUAGACAGGGCAGUUGGUAGGCAAUUACCAUAUUGCUCCUGCAUUCAUCCAUUGAUGAGAACUUGAAGAAGAAAGAACAAAUGAGAUGGUUGAUGUCUUAAUCUGUUUUGUGAUGCUAUAACAGAAUACCCUUGACAGGGUAAUUAUUGAUGAACAGAUAUUUAUUUCUCGGUUUUUGAGGCUAAGAAGUACAAGAUCAAGGUACCACCACCUGGUGGGGGCUUUCUUGCUGUACCAUUCCAUGCCAGAAAUAAAAGGAAGAGGAGAAUAGAUUAACAUAUCCCUUUAUAAGGAACCCACUCCUGCAAUUUUGAACUCACUUCCAUAAUAAUGGAAUUAAUCCAUUUAUGAGGACAGUGCCUCCAUAACCCAAAUACCUGACUUUGGCUCCACCUUCCAACACCUCUGCAUUGGGAAUCAAGUUUCCAACACAAGAACAUUGGAGAAACAUAUUUAAACCACAGCAGUUAUGAUUACAAGAACCAUACUGGAUUACUAGAUGAAAGGAACAGUAGGCAUUAAAGCUAAAGAUAAAGCAUUUCAAAAUAGACUGGCUAUAGAGAUACUGGUUUCUCUGAUUUUUUUUUUAGAAAGGCACAAAAAUCGUAAGUAGGAUGGAAAGAGAGAAUUAAGGAUUCUGAUUUAGAAUAUUGAAUUAGAUCUCCAGAAGAAUAUCCAUGUGGGAGAGUCUUUCAGGCAAUUAGAGAUAGAAGAUUGAAACUGGGGAUGCUAUGGAGUUCAGAGUGGUUAUUCUUAUAGAACUAUUUGAGCCAAAUGGUUAUAAAUAGUUAUAUCCCUAUGAUUAAAGGCAACUCCUAAAAAGAUGAUUCAUCAAAUUUAACUUGCCUUAUUUAUGUCACAUUUGCCACUACUUUUGCUUAAGUAACAAAAGUGUGAUUAUUACUUUUCAUAGAGUAACUGGACUGUGAAGAUCUUGCGGAUCAUCCCCUUGAACAGAAGUUCAAAGUUGUCCUUAAAUCAGGCCUAGUGAUUAAGUAUGAUAUUAAAUAUACACAUAUAUAUAUUUCAAGAAACAUGUUCUAUAUAUAGAUUAUAUAUAGAAUAUAUAUAUAUAUAUCAAGAUAUAUAUGUGUUCUGUAUAUAGAUUAUCUAUAUAUAGAAGGUAUAUAUCUAUACACAUAUAGAUAUAUAUUAUCUAUAAAGUAGAGAUAAUAAUAACAUCUACCUUAUGGAAUUUUUGUGAAGAUUAACAUACAGUUGUCCCUGGGUGUCUGUUGGGGUAUUGGUUCUAAGACCUUUCGUGAAUACCAAAAUCUUGCAUACAAUCUGAGCACCUUCUCCCAUAUUCUUCAAAUCAUCUCUAAACUACUUGUAAUAGCUAAUACAAUAUAAAGGCCAUAUGAAUAUUUGUUGCACUGUAUGGCUUAAGAACUAAUGGCUCGGAAAGAGCCUGUAUGUGUUCAGUACAGAUGCAAUACUUUUUUAAAAAAUAUUUCUGAUCUGUAGUUAGUUGAAUCCAUGGACAUAGAACCCACAGAUAUGGGAGACCUCAGCUGUAGAUGGUGUAGAUAGAAUAUCUAAGUGCCUAGUACAUGGUAUACUCUCCCAUCUUACUUUCAAAUUAUUGUCAUUGUUACUAUUAUACCCUUAAUUUAAAUAUGCAACACAAAGACCACCCAACCACAGACAGAUUUAAUAGAUGCCCUCAUUUUGCCCUGAGAAGAGUUAUCCUGCACUUAGAGUAUCCAAACUUCAACCUCAACCUCUAAUACGAUACUUUCUAGUCAUCUACAGAAAGGCCAGCUUUCAGAAGAUCUCCUUUUUGUUUAGUGUCCUCUUAGAAAAUAAAAGUAUCUGCCACCCAACCAUACACUGGUUAUAUCCUUGGGAAAAUAUUUGUUUGUUAUUAUGUAGGCCAAAGAUCAGAAAAAACUGCCAAGUAUAUAUUUUCCUUCUGUAUUGUAUUAAAAUAGUAUUUAGGGGUUUAAAAGACUUUUGAGUUCACAAAAGCCAUCUUCUGACUCUUAGACUACUUUAUAUUCAUGUUAUAUUUUCUGCCUUGAAAGCAAUUUAGAAAUACCAACUAAUGCCAUAAAAUUAUGCUACAUUUCUAGGUUAGUUUGUUAGUUGGUUUUGGUUUAUAUUUACUGCUUUCACUUAGAGAUUUUCAUCUAACUUCUAUCCAGUCUUUAAACUUUUAUGUGGUAUUAGUAUGCAAAUACAUUAAAGUUGAGUGAGAUAGAAUAAAAUACAAAUAAGUAGAGAGCGCAUUCAUUUUACAGGUGUAAUGUUAAAGAUGCAAGUCUGGAAAUACUUUAUAAUUAUUUGCUAUGAGUAUAGGGGAAUUUCAUAGUUAGAUUUUUGUUCUCAUUUUUUGCUUAAUGUUAACUACAUUAUCCUGACAGCUGAUAGUAAUCUGGUAUAGGGAAGGUGCUCUUGCCAGGUUAUACACUACUCUAUUUCCUUAGGAAAGAUAUUUGUAAUAUACAAAGUAUUCGGCAGAUUCUUUUUUUCUCUAGCCAAUCUAGAAGGCUUCUUAGUGUAGCAUAUGUCAUUUCUCCAGGUAAGCCAGUCAAUCUCUAUAGGAAUAAAUGAGGAAAGUGUUGCAUGUAGAUCCAGGAGGUUAGAUCCCAUAAGAUUCAUCCUGAAUACAAGGGGAACCUAUCAGAGAUUUUCAGGCACUAAAACGGAACAUUAUCUGAUGUAUACUUUUUGAAGAUUCUUUUUGGAGGUAACAUCAUAAGAAUAAAAAAUAGAAGCAAGACCAAUUAAGAGACUUCUGCAGUACAAGCAACAUACGCAUGAGGAUCUAACAAGGAAAAAUGCUCCUGCACAUACUACCAUUGGUUUUAUACUACUAUUGGUUAGUGCACCCCAGAACUCAAAUUAAGUUACCACAGUGAAUGGUAGAAGUAAGGAAGAUGACAAUGAAGAUGGUAAAAAUAAAUGCAAAAGAGAAUUGGAAAAAUAAUGCAAAAUAGUUAAAAGGACCUGGUAAUAAAUAUAGAUUGAGAGAAGGAGAAAUCAAUGACAGUUUUCUAAUUUUGAGUUUGAAGUUGUGCUUACAGAGAUGGGGAAGAUCCAGGGUUUAAAUGAUUACCUGUAGUCUUACUUCACUACUGGACCAGAGCUCCCCACAGGCAGGUAACACAGCUACUAACAUAGUAUCUGGCACAUAGCAGACCUUCAACACAUCUUUAAAUGAGAAAAGAUAGAGAAUUAUUAUGCGAAAGUAGCAUAAUAUCACUAUCAAAAGAGGAGAGUAUAUAGUGAUGCUCAGAAUCCCUGUAGACACUAAAAUUCCCAGAUGCCUAAGCCCUUAUAUGAAAUGGUGUAGCAUUUGCAUAUAACCCUUCCAAUUUCUCCCAAAUACUCUAAAUCAUCUCUAGAUUGCUUAUAAUGUAAGCUGCUGCUAUAAUAAUAAAUAGUUGCUGCUGCUUUGGGAUAAAUCCAAGCAGCCUAUACACCUGGUUAGUGUCUCUGAAAGAAAGAAAAAGAGGGAAACAAAAAAGUAUGUGAAAGAACAAUGGCCAAAAUUUUCCAAAUUUAGUGAAAACUCCAAACCUACUAGCAUAGAUGCCUAUCAGGAAGUUCAAGGAACUCCAAAACAAAAAAUUUGAAAAUCAUACCAAAGUACAUCAUAAUGAAGAUAAUUAAAACCAGUGAGAAAAAAAGAUAAAAAUAGAGGAGGAAAAGAUACAUUUCACACAGUGGAACAAAGAUAAGAAUGACAUCAGAUUUAUGUUUGUAAACAAUGCAAGCCAAUGGAGCAAUCUGUUUAAGUAUUGUGAGGAAAAAGCAAAACUAGAAUUAUAAACCCAGAAAGAUAAUCUUUCAAAUAAAGGUGAAAUAAUCGUUGUCUUAUGCAUACAACAAUAAAAAAUAAAAAUUCGUUACCAGCACAUCUGAAGUUCUAAGAAUAUUAAAGAUCUUCAGCCAAAGGAAAAUUGUACCAGAGGUAAAUAUGCAUCUACUCAAAGGAGCAAGGAGUCAAUGGAAAUGAUAAAUGCAUAAAUAAAUGCAACUUAAGACAUUUUAAUCUCUGAAAAUAAUUGUUUAAAGCAAAUAUGGCAACAGUGUAUUUGGUGGUUUAUAACAGAUGUAGCAGUAAAAUGUAUGACAGUGAGUCAACUAAGGAGAUAAAAUCUUUUAAAAAAUUAAUUAAUGCAAAAGAAAUGAGACAAAGAAGCAAAGGCAAUUCAAUAGAGAAAAAAAUAGUCUCUUGAGCAAAUGGUGCUGAGAUAAUUGGAUGUCAAAUUGGAUAUAUAUUCAAAAGCAAUGAAAUUUAGCCCAUACCUCUCACCACAUUCAAACAUUAUUUCCAAAGGGAUCAUAGGCAAAUAUAAAAUAGGCAAAUAUAAAAUAAAAUAUAAAAAAAUAAAGCUUGGCUUAGACAAAGAUAUUUUUAUGUAUAACACCAAAAACAAUUCAUAAAAAGAACAGAUCCUAAAUUAGAUAUUUUCAAUAUUAAGGACUUCUUUCUUUAAAAGAGACUGCUAAGAGAAUAAAAAGAUGAUCCAUAGAUUGGGAGUAAAUCUUCAUAAAUCACUUUUCUAAUAAAGGACUUAUAUCCAGAAUAUAUAAAGAAUUUUAAAAAUGUAGUAAUGAGGACACAAUCAACUUUUUCAAAAGUGGGAAAAUGACUUGAAAGCAACUAUUAAAAUCAUCAUAGAGAUGUAAAUAAGCAUAUGAAAAAGUAACUCAAUGUUAUUAGAUAUUGGNACAAUCAACUUUUUCAAAAGUGGGAAAAUGACUUGAAAGCAACUAUUAAAAUCAGCAUAGAGAUGUAAAUAAGCAUAUGAAAAAGUAACUCAAUGUUAUUAGAUAUUGGGGAAGUGCAAAUUACAACUACAAAAAAUGUUAAAUCCCACCAUAUAUACCUAUUAGAAUAGCAGAAAUUAAAGAGACUUUUCCAUACCACAUGUUGACAAGGAUGUGGAAUAACCAGCACUCUUGCACACUGCUAAUGGGAAUAUAAAAUGGUACAGUACUUUGGAAACAGCUUGGCUGAUAUUUGCCUAUCAUGCAGUUCCAUCCUAUCACUUUCAUAAGAAUAAGAAGAAAAUAUCCAUAUAAAAAUUCUAUAUCAAUUUUCAUAGCAUCUGUGUUUGUAAUAGUACAAAAUUGGAAAUAAGCUAAUUGUCUAUCAACAGAUAAAUGAAUAAACAGAUUGUGACAUCUCUAUAUAAUGGAAUUCUACUCACCAAUAAAUAGAACAAAAAAUUGAUACACAGAAACAAUAUGAAUAAAUCUUAAAUACAUUAUACUAAGUGAAAGAGGCCAACAAAACAUUAUAAGUAUUUUAUAAGUCCCUCAAUCUUUCAUGAGAGAAAGCAGAUCUGAGGGUUAGGGUGGGUGGGAGGUUUGAAAGGGCAAGAGAAGAGGUUAUAAAAAGUACCAAGAAAUUUUGGGAGGGAAGAUACAAACAUGUUUAUCAUCUUAAUUGUGGCCAUAUUUUUAUGGGUAUAGUCUUAUGUAAAAAUUUAUCAACUUGUACACUUUAAAUCUGUACCAUUUAUUCUAUGUCACUUAUACCUCAAUAAGGCUGUAAAAAACUUAUUCUAAAGAAAGCAUGAUUAAAAAAGAAAUAACAAACAUAGUGCAGGUUGUGCCCUUCUCAGAGGUGCCCAGUUACAAGAAGAAGUGAGUCUGAAAUUCAGACAUUUGUGCCAUUAGUUGGGAAGAAGUGUAUCUUUUUGUAAUUCAGCCACCUGAAGAAAGAUAGGGUAAUUUGCUUUAAAUGUCAUCUCUGUGUAAGAAGCAGCCUUGUUAUGAUCAUAAUUUAUUAUACUUUACUCUAUUUGAAGAUAAGAAAAAAAAGAAAAGAAAUUGCUGGACUUAAAAGUUUGUGUACACACAAGAAAUCAGAUCACAACUAUUCAUUUGAGUUAAUAAGAAAUAUGAAAAAAAACUAAACAGUUGUGUUCAUAAUGCUUUUAUAAACUACAUAUUUAAAUUUUAAAUAGUAUCUGUUAUAAAAAAUAAGAAAAAUGAACACAUUUACACCUUUCCAACUGUCCUCCAUAUUUUUUGAGCUUUAUCUUUAUGUGAUUAUUUUGACAUCAUCAUCAUCAUAAUUGACAUAAUAAUAAUAUGUCAAUUUAUUGUCAGAAUAAAAAUAGAGAUAACUGUGAAUUAUGAUGAAAGAACUAUAACUAUGGAAGACCUUGAUUUCAAUUUGAAAUGGACUUAGUGCUCACUAUGUCUCCGCUAUCAAACUGCAUUUUGUAAGGAGGUACUGCUAUGAAAUUAAUGUUUAUGCCCUCCUCCCCACAUUCAUAUAUUGAAACCUAAUCCAGAUGUGCUAAUAUUUAGAGGUGGGUUGAUUAAGCCAGGAAGGUAGAUCCCUCUUGCAUGGGAUUAGUGCUCUAAUAAGAAGCUCAGAGAGACCCUUUCUGCUUCUGCCUUGUGAGGACACAUUAAAACCAUGGUCAUUUAUGAACUAGGAAGCAGAAUAUAUUCAGACAUCAUAUUAGCAACUUUAUCUUGGAAUUUUCAAUCUCCCAAACUGUGAAGCAUAAAUUUCGGUGGUUUAUAAAGCACCCAGUCUAUGUAGUUUCUUACAGUGGCCCAAAUUGACCAAGAAAAGGUAUGUUGGACACUUCGUGUACACAUUUCUCACCUGACUAGGUAUAUACUUUUGGGGCCACAUUUUUUUUCUCUUAGGUUUUUGUAAGUAAAACUUUACUUUUUUGGUAUUGAAGGUUUUCUAGAUGCUUAUAUUAUUCACUAUUUGGAAGGAUAUACCAAUAACUUCACUGGAACUUGACAUUACUUCUAUUUUAUAUUCUGGAUCACAAGGUGACUCAUCAAGCAACAAAUUUAAAUUGCUUUUAUUUCAUAAAAGUUUUCUGCUUCCAUGUGUCCUUCUUGUUCUCUUUUCUAGGAAAACCAGUUUUAUAUAUGCUAUUUGUGUCUGCAGCAUUAUUAUAUUUCUCUUCUAUUUCAAUCUAAGGCCUUUUCAGCCUACUUUUUUUUUGUCUAAGUGGUUUUAAAAUAUAUGUUUUUAAUAAUUAUUUCUUUUUAGUGUAGAAACUUCUGAAAAGAGAUCAUUGAAACUAUGGAGAAAUAUUAUUCUGAAUUUUUAUUGAGUUUCUUAGAGCAAUUUAUUUGUGAUGUAGUUUUGUUCUAUUCUUCUCUUUUUUCAAAAAACUUUUUAGCCAGUCCCUGAGUGGUCCCUUUGCCAUUAUUACUCACACUUAAAUUAUAUGUCCUAUUUGCAAAGGAAUAAUAUGAUCCUAAGGCUGGUGUGGAAGAUAAGUUGGGACAGUUUGUUGUUUUGUCAUAAAUAUUCUGUCACCAAUUCUGUUAUUUCCUUUGUCCCAGGGGCAAGUCUUCUCUAAUUUUUGGACAUUCUUGGCAAAUAUUUUUCUGCAGAGGGCCAGAUAAUAAAUAUUUUAGACUUUGAUAGUCAUUCUGUUUCUGUCUCAAUUAUCCAACUCUCCCAUUGUAGCCUACUAUGAAUUGCAUCCCCUUUCUUAGUCUGGUCAGACUGCUAUAACAAAAUACUAUAAGUCACUUAGCUUAUAAAAAACAAAUUUAUUUCUCACACUUCUGGAGACUGAGAUCCCAGAUCAAGGUGCCAGCAGAUUUGGUGUCUUGUGAGGGCUGGCUUUCUGGUUCACAGAUGGUGAUUUUUUGCUGUGUCCUUACAUGGUAGAAUAUACAUGCAGCUUUCUGGGGUCUCUUUUCUAAAGGGACUAAUCCCAUUUAUGAUAAUUCUGCAUUCAUGACCUAAUCAUCUCCCAAAGCCCCCAUUUCCUAAUACUCCCUGUCUUCCUUUUAUGAUAGGGAGCUGCUCACAAGGGGACUCCGGCUUCUCCCACUCUCUCCUGGUACUGAGAGUUCCAGUUAUAGAUCAUCACCAGGCCUUCCACUCUUGUGACACUUAUUUUUGGACAAGGCUGCAUCCUGUUCAGAGCUGGAGAUUUGGGCAUAUUCUCAUCAUUCUCAUUUUGGCAGAACUUUCCAUUGUAAUUGGCUUCUGUGUGUCAUCUGUGGUUUAGGCUUAUGGCCAUAUUCUUAUUUUAUAGGUGAAAGAGUGUUGAAUUUUGUCCCUCCUGAUUUCCAUUAUGUCACUAGACUUUAAGAACUGAAGCAAAUAAAAGUUCCUGUACUUACACAUUUUUGAAAGAAAGACAAACAAAUAAUUCUGAACAGUUGGGAAUGUAUCUGUGUUCCCAGAGCAUAUCUCAGGGCCCUGUCCAGAGCAAAUUUCUGCUGAAUCACUAGUGUUCUUGAUUUUCCCCAUUUUAUAUUUCUCUACUUCCUUUCUCUACACUGGGACUACCAUUACAAAUGCUGACUUCUUUGCAUGUCUGCACCAGCCUCCAGACUUGCUUCUCUGACCUGUCCUUGUUCUUCACAAAUUCAUUCUCUACUUUGCAGCCAAAUGAUCUCAUAUCACACAUCUUGUUUUAAAUUCUUCAGUAGCAGCUCUUUUUUCUUGGAUAAGCUCUAGAGACAAGCACAUAGUAUUCAUUCAGUAAAUAUCUGUGAAAUGAAAGAUUGUAGGAAAUCAGGAGUCUUAGGCCUUGAGAUGGAACAGAGAUAGGUCAUAAAGUUGUAGUAUCCCUUUUGCCAGUUCAUUAAAUCUUCACUUGCUUCAGUUCUUUUGUCUAUAAAUAUGUGCUUAGGGCCAGAAACAAAAAUAAGACAAUGUAUAAAUGUGUUGGUUCAUGUCUGCCAAGAAGCUUAUAUCAAGAUAGGAUAAGAUACACAAGAGAUUCAUUGAGAAAGGGAAGAAGGAAAAGUGAGAAGAGCCUCCAGGCUACAGUGGACAUCUGACAUGAAUGAAAGGAGAGAGGGAUGGAGGAGUCUCAGGCUACAGUGCAGUUCUAAGGAAGGCUUAACCAGACCCAGGACAAGUCCUGGAGUCAAAACCAUCCAUAAGAGGUGAGGUGAAUGGGAUCUGUAUUGGUAUACACCAUCCCCUCCUUGACGCUCCCACUGAUGUGAGCAGCCUAUGGAAGUAUGGCUUUUUUAUUAAAAGGGUGAUGGACCAAGACAGGCAAAUACUUCCCACAGUAGAAGAUCUGAGCAGUGCUGGAUGUGGUGGCAUAUGCCUAUAAUCCCAGCAAUCGGUAGACUAAGGCAGGAGGAUCACAAGUUGGAGGCCAACCUCAGCAACUUAGUGAAGCUCUAAGUGAGACCCUGUCUCACAAUAAAAAAUAAAAAGGACUGGGAAUGUAGCUCAACAGUAAAGCUUCUCUGGGUUGAAUCCCCAGUACAAAAGAAAAUGAGGAAGAGGAAAACGAAGAGGAAGGGGAAGGAAAGAGGGUGAGGAGGGGGAAGAACUGAGCAGUACAUUUUGCAAAGACCCUUAGAGUUAUGAGAUGAUGAGACAAUAAGCAUAAGAAAAAAAAUCAUCUUUCAACUACACAAUGGCUGUCUAUUUAGCUUGUGAGCUUCACAUCAUAGACCCAUCACCCUUGCUUUUUAAGUCUCUUUUUCCUGCUACAUUCCUUUUAUCCAUCUCACUCAGAACUUUUAUGUAGAGGUUGGCAGGAACAGAGAAGCAGAACUUCAGACCAUUCCUUUCAGCUGUUGGGCUUUUAGGAGGACCCAACCCCCAUCCUCCAACCAUCACCACAACCUUUUAUAUUUUAUCUUUCCAUUUCUGAGGAAUAAUUUUCUCUUCUUAAAAUGGUAGCAUGCAGCAGUGUUUAUGCAACUGUUUUGUUACAGAUGAUGUGAAAUUACAUUUGGGUCAGUAAGUUUUAAGGUCCUACAUCUCUAUUAACAGAUAAAAGCAGUGAUACUAUAUUAUUAUUAUCUCCUGUACUUCAUCUCUUAUUGAUAUUUACUUAAACAAUUGACUAUUCUGUGGCUUUCAAAUUAAAAAUGAAGGGAUAAAAACCCCAAAUCACCAUUGUUUCCUCCAUACUUAAAAUAAAAAAAUGUUCUUAAGGAUCAUUUUUAAUUUUUUUAAGUCCUUAGGAUUUAUCCAGGAAGUUCCUUGAGUGGGGUCCAGAAAGAGGUGUGGCCAUCCAUUUCUGACAUUUUCCAGGGCUGUGUCAGAAAUUAUUCUGUUGGCCGAUGUUCAGCUGAAUGAGUCAAGGCCUUAGAGGCAUUGGCUUAUGAGGCAGGAUUUUGGUAGGAUUUUUUAAAACUGCACUACUCCUAUAAAGAAAAUGAAGCUUUAAAUAAAACAUGCUACUUUAAUCUUAUAUAAUCUUGAAAGCUGGAAGUACUAGGCUAUUAAAAACAAGCCUGAAGGCCAAAGCAAAUAUGGCUAUGAAACAGGCAAACUCUCGGGGAUGUUACCCAAGGAGGAUCACAAAGUGCUAACAGCUAAACCAAACUCUUGAUCUUGAUCUCUUUUAAAUAGACCUAACAGGUAAAGCGUAUGACUACUUAGGGACAAAAUUGGGAUGUGACAGAAUGACUCUUUCCCAAAACUUCUUUAAUGUUAGGCAAUAUAUUUUAGAGUUACAGAUGAAACUAAAAACAGUAGCUAAAAAGAAGGACAUUUUUAUAUAAAUAUACACAUGUGUUUCAGACUAUGCAUUUACUCAGACUGAAUUAAAAAAUCUGUGUUCGGUCUACUGCUAGAUUCAAUAGAUGGGAGAUAGUACACAAUUUUUAAAAUUUAAUCUUUACAUUUAUGUGAGGUCUAUAUUACUAUCUCCCUUUUAUACAUAAGUCUUAGCCAAGUGAAGAAUACUCAUGUAACUAGUAAGAGUUGUAAUCAAGACUCAACCUCAAUGUGUCAAACUAAGAACGCAGGUUUUUUUUUAGUACAAGUUGGCUAUUCUUUAUCUUAAAUGCCUAGAAUCAGAAGUGUCUUGGAUUUUGUAGUUUUUCAUAUUUAAGAUUAUUUGUAUAUAAAUAAUGAUAUAUCUUAGGGAUGUAACUGAAGUCUAACACAAAGUCCUUUUAUAUUUUAUAGGCACCUUAACUAUAUAUAUAUCUUAACAGUAAUUUUAUAUAAUAUUCUGGAAAUUUUUGUUCAUGAAACAAAAUUCAUGGUGCGGAAUUGUCCACUGACCAGACCAGCAUCAUGUCAGUGCUCAAGAUGUUUCAGAUCUUGGAGCAUUUCAGAUCUUUGUAUUGGGGAUGUUCAGCCUGUAUACCACAAUGGCUUAAAAGAAAUAGAGAUGAAUUGUCAUUUCUUCACAUUUACUUGAAGAGAGAAGAUACAUUUGUGAAUUAACUAGAGAAUAAUUUGUGGAGAUAUAUGUGAGACUAUAUUCUGAGCACUACAGGAGUACAGAAGUUGCUUUACAAACAGAAAACUCUUUUCUCCUAUGCUCCUCUCUAGCUCCAGGACCCCCUUACACCUGUCUUUCAUAUCCUAAGAGAAUUGAACCCCAACUAUCAGCUGUCCACCACAGCCAGACUGUCAAUAUCCACACCCUCCUUAUUUUCUCCAGUUGGCUCUUCUCUCUGGGACCCACUCUUAGAGCCUCCUGUGGGUCUGUGUUUCCUGGAAUCUGCAACUAUGGUCUUCACAAGUUCUUUUCCCUUGGUCUGUGAAUAUAUUGAAAUCUCGUCUAAUUUUAAAAAGUGCUUCAUCAAAUUACCUCCUAAGACUAGAAGUUUGGCUUCCUUCAACUUUUCUGAGUUUCUUGAGAUUAUAUUACUUUAUUUAUUCCUUUUUUCUAUUCUAAUUGCUAUCCCCUGGUUCUGGCCAAGGUCACUUCAUAAUUACCAACUUUAGAGUUGCCAUUUUCAGCCCUUUGCUAUUAAUCUACUUCUGCUGAUUAAAAUCUUCCCUCUUCUAAUAUAUAUAUUCCUUUUCUUCUCUGGCUGCUUUUUCUUAGUCAUCCUUUCAUCUUUUCAUCCUCAUAAAUACCAGCUGCCCAGAUUUUUGCCUUUACCUUUCUUUUUCUUAGCAAAAUCGCUUUUUCUGAACAACCUGAUACUUGUUCAAAGUUGGAAUUAUUGAUAGUCUGUACUCAUUCAGUCCAGACCACUUUACUGAGCUCUAGCUUCUUUAUACAGUCCCAGCUGGUGUCCCACAGACACUUCAAACUCAAGGUGUCCAAAAACAAAAUUCCCUUCCACACCUCUCCUAUCACUCAUCUUCAUCAAUGUGACACUGCCACAAACCAGGUAGCCCAGACCUGGAAACUAUUCAAGACACUCCCUCUCACACUUGCUUCCUCUCUUUGCUUUUAAUCAGUCCCUUGUAAAUAUGACUCAUACCUGUCCGUCCUCACAGUCUAGUACCAGCCCUAUGUUUUACCUAGUCAUGGUCCAUUGUAACAGUCCCCUGGAUUGUAUCCAGUUUCUUCACCCUAUCCACAGUCUACCCCUUGUGGUGGCUCCAGAUUUGCCAUUAUAAAACCUGCAUUUUAGAGUCUUCAUUACCCAUAAAAGUCAUUCUCAACUCCUAAAUGUAGUAUGCAAACUCUUUCAUGAUCUAGCCCAAUCCUAUCCUUCUAAACACAUCACUCUCUACUCUUCUCCAAAACUGAUAUUGUAGCAACAUCAGAAUCCCUUCAUUUCUCUAGACACCCCUGCUUUCUUCUGCCCCUCAUACACAUUGCUCCUCCUCCUUGAAAUUCCCCUCUUACUCUUCCUAUGAGCCUAUUACUCUUUAUAAAACAUCUCUGAUUUUCUCUAUGAGAUCCACCACUCGUUCCUCUUUGGAAAUCAGUAUGUUUUAUGUACACCUUUGUUCCUAUACUUGUUCUGUAGUAUUAUAAACUUUGUGUUGUUGGUGGCAGAGGGUUGUCUUCUGCCUUAUCCUGGAAUUUUAUUCAGGGAAUAAGAACUCAGUUUCAUUCUAAGAUAGCCAGGUUUUCAAUUGCACAUACAAACUAUUUAACCAUCAUCUUUAUUCUUAAAUGUUAACUGAACUUAUUAUCUAAGUCAGGUAACUCCAUAUUGUAAUAAAUCUGCAAUUAAUUGCUUUCUAAUAGUGUUAUGUGUAUAUGUCUUAUCUAUCCUUCUAGAUUAUCAAAGUUUGGUGUUUUACCCACAAAAUUAUCCUAGAAUGGAUCAGGUGUUUCUUAAAGCUAGAUAGUAAAGUCCAAGAUGGUGGAAAUGCUUUUUAUUUGGGUCUUGAUCUGAUUACUUGUCUAGGAAAUCCCUAUUUCAAUCAUGAAACAAAAUACUCUUUUAUGAUUAUUAAAGAAUUAUGAGCUAAAGAAAUGGGAAUCUGAACUAAUUAACUAAAAAAUCAAACAUUUUCUGUUUGUUCAGAUUAGUUCAGAUUCCCGUUUCUUUAUUUCUCACAAAUUAACCCUUUGGCUUUAUAUUCAGAGCUUUUGUUUGUCAAAAGCAUCUCAGAGCAUAAUAUUUUUUUAAUUACUGUCUGGCAAAUGCUUGUGUGCAUUUAGUCAUUAAUUUUUAAUUUUUCAAAGUCUAGUGAAAAUACAUGUGGUAUGUGUUAUACUCUUGCAUGGAUUCUUCCAGAUAAGUAUAUAUUUCAGAGUAAAACAGAAAUAAUUUUUUGGCUGGGGUGAAUGAGAGUCAGAGCACAGCCCAAGUCAUAUGUCCAUAUUGGAGCGGGACACUGAGUACAGGAUCUAAAGAGAGGAGCACAAAAAUGUCUGAGCAAGAGGGAACAGUGAAACCUGUAGUUCAGAUUCAUGAUUGGAAAAGGACUGUCCAAAAAUGAAAGGGCAUCUGGAAACCCGGAUUCCUGUCUGGCUGUCUCAGCAGCACCAUCAUCAGCUGCUGGCUGUCACACAGGGUUCUAGCAAACCCUGCCUUGAAUGGAAGGAUUGACCAUUUAUUGGCCUAGAGUGAAUAUAGUUGUACAAAAGAAUGGAAGUUCUUAAGUCUUUUUGAGGUGUUGCACUUCUGUAAAACUUACUUAAAGUAUUUGUCCAGAUGCAAAAUGCCUGGGAUCAUUGUUUUAGAAUGAAUUUUAUUCACUAAACUUGACCCAGGAAACUUCUAUAAUCAGUUCUGUUAUUAAGAAACUUCUUUUUCAUUUGAUGUAUUCCUUUCUUCAUUUAUUCAUUCUUGAGACUUGGCACAACUCUUACAUAGAACAUACACAGAAGGAUAGAAAACAAGUGGCCUCUUCAUGUAAACUAAUCAAGAAGGAAGUGAAGCCACCCAAAUGUGGUCUAUGCCAUCUGUGACAAAUAGCAAAACUACGGCCACAGUUUUUUCCUUAACUGUUAACAGUAAAAUAUAAAAUCCUUUUUAUUAGUACCAGAUGUGAAGAAUGCUUAUUAAAAUGCCAUGGCUUAUUAAAUAACAUCACUUCAGACUCACUGAACUAAUAAAGAUUAGGUAUUUUUGCAUUAAAUGUCUGAAAUUAUGUAUUACACACUUCUAUUUCAAAUAUUUGAAUACUAAUAUACACAUACCAAAAUUUAUAUUUAGAAACAGAGAUUUAUACAUCAAGGGCUAAACUGAAAAAUGCUUAUAACCACAAAAGUAGGUUUCAUAUGCCUCUUAUGUUUAAGGUUUCUUGAGGUUUUUAUAUGGCACUGGAAAUAAGUGUUACAUACGUUAGAUUUAUAGGAAAAAGAGUAGAUUUUAAAUUAUAUAAUAUAUUCUAUAAUUUUUAGAAUAUUUUUCCUUGGCUUUCAUGGCAUAAUUAUUUGAGGAAGUCUGUGUUCUUUCCCUUCUCUCCCCUCCUUCCCACUGUCUAAUAUUUUCUCAAAACUAGUUGGGAAAGGAUAGCUUUAACAGCUAGACAGGAACCACUAUAGAGAAUUUUUUCAUAAAUAAAAAGAUUUUGUGUACUUCUCAUCAUGGCUAUGAUCAAAAUAUUUCAAAUUCAAAUUUAAAGUCAAUAAUGAGAAUUCAGUAAGAUAAAUAAAACAUCAUAUUUUUUAUCACUUCAUUAACUGAUAAUUUGGUUGAAACUCUUAAAAUUAUUAGAGAUUAUAAUGCUUUGAAAUAUUUCUUCCCCAUUUUUACCUAUAAUAUGUACUCAAUAUACUAGACAGGUAAUGGAGAGAGAUUUAGGAAAAGGUUUUACUUUUUCUGUUUGAGAUAUUUUUCACCUACAACAGUCAGUCUUAACUUACUUGGACCAAAGUCAGUGUGUAACAUUUACAGACCUUACAUUGUCCAAGGAAACAAAUUUCCAGUGGUAAUCUGGUGAUCAACCUUUUCCACUCAUUUCUACUUAGGCAUUAUUCAGUAAUAUUUAAAUUAGGGCCACUACUAAAUAUAAUCUAUUGAGUUUGAAAUCAACAGGUGGGUUCUGGAUAAAGUAAAGGGCACAUAGUAAAAUGACUUACAUGUUUACCUAUGAUUUUAUUUACUUUAGAAGUAUAUUUGACACUUGGUUUUCAAGGUUUAUAUGAGGGCAUUGAGAACAAAUGAGUCUUUUGUGUUUCAAAGCAGCAGGUGUUGAAAUAGCUUUCUAUUUGACUACUACUAUAGUAGGUAAAGUAUUUAUUACAUGUCCUAGUCUACCAAUAAAAAGUUAUCUGGGUGCUUUCAUGGUUAUCUAACAUAGUUACAUAUUUUAGUCUAGCAUAUUUGGAUAAGUAGGCAAAGGAUACAUGUUUGAAUAAAUCUAUUACCAAAAGCAAUUGUUUUAAAUCUAGCCCUAUCAUAGAACAAAUACCUAAAAUAUUUUUUAUCAUUAAAGUAUGUAUUAACAUGGAUUUAUAAUUACUAUGACUUUAGAAGCACUAGAAAAUUUACCACCUUCUGGGGAAUCUCACCAAAUGAGGCAAGUGACUCUAAUACUACUAAUCAAGAAAGAAACAAAGUCACCCAAAUGUGGUCUCUACCAUCUGUGGUCUGUGAUAAGUAUUAAAACCCACAAUCAUGAUUUUUCUAUGAGACUAUCCAUGAGCUAAUUCUAACAAUUUUUCAUGAAUUGCCCAUGAGAUAAUUCUAGCAAUUCUAGAGUUCCCAAAUCUCCAAUUUGGGUACUUAUCUGCUCCCAGACAACUGUACAACAGAAAGAACAGUUGAAGCACUCAGCAAAUGUUUAUUUCUAUACAUUUCUAUACCAACUAAGCACUCAACAAAUAUUUAUUUAAUAAAAUAUCUAUGUUUCAACAUAUGGGGUUGCCUUAGAUUGUGCAUCUCGUGAUUUUUUUUCCUCAGGGAUCUUUUAUUUUGUAAUUAUGAUAAAAUACACAUAACACAAAAUUUAUCAUCUUAACCAUUUUUAAGUACAGUGAUAUUAAUCCAACUACAUCAUUGUGCAACCAUCAACACCAUCCACUCAAGAAUUUUCAUUUUCCAAAACUGAAACUCUGUACUCAUUGAACAAUAAUUUCCCAUUACUUCCUCUCCCUAGUCCCUGGGAUCUAGUAAUUUUAAGUAAAAAUUAUCAUAUUAAAAUAUUGUCAUAUAUUCAUAAAAUACAUGUUCACCAUCACACUUAUGAAUUUUUAGAUUAACAUGUUAUAGACAAUGCAUAUUUUAUAUUUGUUCUUUUCUUCAAUAAUUUUCGUAGGAAAUGAGAGCUCCUAUGCCUCUGCUUCUCAUUUUACAAACAAUUUAAAUGGUUACAUGCAUCAGGGGCUCAUUUUCAAAUAUUUUCAACAUCUUUAUACUUCAGUAAUAUUUUUCAUUAUUCAAGGACACUGACUUUUGUUGCUUUAAUUUAGCAAAAAAUUGCUACUUUUUUCAAAUGACACUUCACAUUUACAAUGUUCAGACUUUUAAAUAUGUUUAAACAUCAUCCCACAUUUUUCUCCAAGUUGUAUCUUUUCUUUAUGUUUCUAGAGUUCACUGUAAUCUCAUGAACGUGUACCUUUUAUGGAAUAUUUAUAUUUAAGACAAAAUAAUACUUGACCAUACUUUUGUCAAAUGCUCUGUUUUAUCUGAGAAUCCCUGGUUCACUUGGGUUGCAUUGAUUUAUGUUUGGAGUCAAAUAAUCUGACCCUUCAUUCUUGUAUCAAGGGAAAUUAUUAUUAUUAUUAUUAUUAUUAUUAUUAUUAUUAUUAUUAUUAAUGUAUGAGUAACUCUAUUAGUACUCUAUCUCAAGGUAUGGUCAAAGAAGCCUAUUUAUUAUAUUUUACUUCCUCUUCAAACCCUCAGGCUGAAAUUUCUCUGUAGCAAUUCCUCUUAACUCCUAAGUGAGAAUUUUUUAAACAGCUGAACAUGAAUAAUUCUACCAGGUUAUUUCUAUGUUUAUAUGCUUAUUAAAACAUUGCUGAAUUAAGAAAAAUAAUUCUUAAUAUUAUAUUACAUUCAGGUAACACAACUUAUUUUGCUUUCUAAUUUUACCCUACUUGUUAUUCCAGGUCAACUAGUCAUUAAAUAAAUUUGCUUCCAGCCCAAGUCAGAACCAUUUUAUUGGUUGCAUAGGGUUCACUCUAGAGCAGAAAAUAGGCAUUUACUUAAUAUUAUUUGAGAAAUCUUUCCCCUCCUGUGUGUCACAGUGUCUGGAGGCUUGCCAUUGAAGGUUCGUUUCUUGUGUUUAUCGUCAGAUGGUAGGUACCCCUUAAUGUUUGAAUAUCCAUGGGAAGAGAGACUCUUCUCAUUGUCAGUCACCAACAGUUUUAUGAAUUUGCUAUUACCCCAGGGCAAGUAUGAACAGAGAAAUAAGGGAAGGUGGGGAGAGGAAGAGAGAUAGAGAUACAGAUAGAGAUAAAUAGAUAAUAGAAAAAGGGUUGGUAGAACAAAACUUUAUGUCAGUAUUUUGCCUCUUUCAUUCCAAAUUCCCAUAGAGUAUUAUAUACCUGAUACUUUGAAAAAAUAAAGUGUAACCCUCUGUUUUUCAGAAUUUCUUUCAGAAUAAUCAACAAAUAUUUACUUUAUGCUUCCUCUGUGAUACUCAUGGGUGUCAUUAUAUAUCACAUGAAUUAUUGUAUUUACUCCUCUUCAAGAAACUCUAUUUUACCGAUGAGGAAAUAAGACAAAGAAAUUUGGUAACUUUCUUGAGGUCAUGCAGAUAGUAGCUGUCUUUCUGAUUGCUAAACUUAGGAUCCUAACCUCUGCAGUGUUGAUUUUUAGGGUCAUGGGGGACUAUUGAAGGGUCUUUUUUAAAAAAAAUUUAUUUGUUCUUUUUAGUUAUACAUAACAGUAGAAUGUAUUUUGACACAUCAUACCUACAUGGAGUAUAACUUCCCAUUCUUGUGGUUGUACCUAAUGUGGAGUUAUACAUGGUCAUGUAUUCAUACAUGAACACAGAAAGUUAUGUCUGAUUCAUUCUACUGUCUUUCCCAUCACUCCUAUUUCCCCCACUUCCCCCAUUCAAUUCAGUGACACUCUGCUGCUUCCUCCCUACUACCUAUUGUGAGUCAGCAUCCACAUAUCAGAGAAAACAUUCUACCUUUGUUUUUUUGGGAUUGGCUUAUUUCACUUAGCAUGAUAGUUUUAAGUUCCAUCCACUUACCAUCAAAUGAUGUAAUUUCAUUCUUCUUGAAGGGUAUUAAGACAAUUAAUGUAAUCACAUUGUUUUUAGAAAGAUUAAACUGUGAAUAAGAAAAAUAAGGCUGGAGUCAGACUAGGAAGUUAGGAAGCUGAGUUACCUAGGUAAGUUAGGAACCUGAGUUACCUAUGUUGUCCAGGAGGUGUAAGUAAGAAUGAAAAGUGAUGGAUUGACUAAAGUAAGAUUUGGGAGUAGACAACAACAGGAUUUAGUGAGAAUAGGAAGAGAAAUAAAGGAUGAGCUCUGGAUUCCUGAUUUGAAUAGUGAUGCCAUUCAUUAAGAAAGGAACAUAGAAAGAGGAUCAGUUUAGAUCUGGAAGUGUCUGGCCAAGAGAGUGGAGAGGAGGUUGUAGGAAGGCAGCAGAGGAUUCUGAAUUUUGAACACAUGGAGUUUAAGGUGUCUACUAAAGCAUGUGUAAAUCAGAUUGCCACUCAGCACUUGGCUCCAUUGACCUGGAGCUCAAGGCAAGAAUCCAGGUUGGAGAUAUAAAUCUGAAGGUUAUCAGAAUAUGAACGGAAAGUAAAUGAUGUCACUAUGGAAGAACCUACAAACUAAGGAGAGAAAGCCCAACUUCAAUCCCCGAUGAAACAAAAUAAUACUAAAGUAAAUGAACUUAACCUGUAAGGAGGACAAAGGCACAGGGCAGCAAACCAGUAAAAUGAUAAGGAAUAGUCAGAGGGUAGAAAAGACUGUAGGGACAGAGCGGGAGAACAGAGGGCAGAAGGAUCAUCUUCUGAUGAUGUACUUUGUAUACAAUCAGAUAUGAAAAAUUGUGCUCUAUAUGUGUAAUGUGAAUUGUAAUGCAUUCUGCUGUCAUAUGUAACAAAUUGGAAUAAAAAAAAAGAAGGGAGGAGCGGUCAGCUGCAUUAGCUGCUGUGUUAUUGGGGGAUCAAGUGAGGCAGAGACUGGAUUUAGCACUAAGGAGAUUCCUGGUGAUUUGAGGGCAGUAGAAUAAUCGAUAGAAACUGGAAUUGAGUCUUCUCUGUUAGUAAGUAGAUUCAAAUCUUUACUUAAGUCAGAGAAAAAUAACUUGAUUCAUCUUCCCCAUCAGUAAGUAUUAUAAUUACUUUUAUAAUUCCAAAUGAGUUGUGUAGUCCCUCAAAUAAUUCAAUUUUAAUGCUUCAUUUGGCACUUUAUUUUUAUUUCUGGAGGCCCUUUGAUUCUGAUUUUAUAAUCUGACUCUUGUUUUGAGCCUGAUGAUGAUAUUCUUGACAAAAUGGUAUAAUUUUGAGAUAUUAAGAGAGUCAUGAUUUUUUACAGGUGCUCUCUGACAAACGAAGCAAAGAAAGAGCAGGUAAGUCUCCUUGAUCAGCUGUGUUUUACUGUUUAUUGAUAGAAAAUGUUUGAAGAGUUUUGUCUAAUUCCUGUAAGUUUAAGCAUGCCAUAAGUAUUCUGAAUCAUUGAUAGAAAGUCGAUGGUCACUGUGUGAUGUUAAAUCAGAAUAUGUUAUACAUCUUGGAGACUGAAUUAACUCACUUUGUUCUUUCAUAAUCCUCAUGCCAUUAUUUUGUAUGUUUAUCCCCAUUUGGUAAGGUUGAUUUCAUACAGAGAAAACUUGUUUUGCAUAAGUAGUCUUUAUCUUAAAAUGCAUGCUAUAAAUUCAAUAAGAAUUAAAUAGAAAGUUAUAUCUGUACUGAAAAAUCCGCUUAGAAGAGAAGUGAUUUUGAGAAAAUAGUACGUAUGAGGCCACCAUCUCCAAUGUCUUUGAGUUUGGAGAUGUUUUGUGUAAGUCCAGCUAUUUUCUAUCUUAAUUUAUUGAUUUUUUAUUUUAGUGACUUUGUAAAGUAAGAGCUAAUGACUACCUGAAUCAGCUACUUACCGCCCUUCAGCAUCUGUCUUUUACUCUUGGCUUCUUCAUUGUGGAUGCAACAUUGAAAUCUCCUCCUAUUCAUUGUGGAUACAACAUGAAAUCUCCUCAUCAGUCCUUAGGUCAUAUUGGCAUUUACAUACUUAAACAUGGGAAAGAGCCACCUCAAAAUCCUUUUCCUUCAUAUUGGUAGAAUUACAUGUUUCUGAACUGCUUCAAUAUGAAAAUUAAAACUUCUUUUCUCUUGAGUUUUUAUCAUUAAAGCCUGAUUUUGAAAUAAUCUUGUCAAAUAAUGCCUCUAAAAAUAACAGUCUAAUGCUGCCUUCAUCUACAUUGUUAAUCAUCAUUAUUUCCAUUUUUAUAUAUUCAUUUUUCUAUCAUCUGUUAGGAACCAAUUUUAGUUCAUUAUUCAAAAACUCAAGAUCUUAGCUUUAGUGCCUAUUAAUAUUACCACUGGAUCUCUGGGAUAUAUAAUAAUUACUUAUCUAUGGUUUUGGAGUCUAGAGUUAUAGUUACCUGAGGUCAGCCUUGGUCUGAAAACAUUAAAUGGAAAAUUCCAGAAAAAAAAUUCCAUAAAUUUUAAAUCAUAUGCAGUUCUGAGUAGUAUGAUGAAAUCUGUAUUUCCCACUACAUCCUGCUCAAGUGUGGAUUUUUCCCUUUCUUCUCCAUCCACACUAUCUGUGCUACCCUCCUACUACUUACUUACUAGCUUGUCAGCAGAUUGAUUGUUGUGAUAUCACAGUGAUCAUGUUCAAGUAACCUGUAUUUUGCUUAAUAAUGGCCCCAAAGCACAAGAAUAAUGAUACUAGAAAUUUUCUUGUAGUAUAAUGCAUUAAUAGUUCUAUUAGUACUUACUGCCAAUCUCUCACUGUGUCUAAAUGAUAAGUUAAGCUUUAUCAUGUUCAUGUAUGUAAAGGAAAAAGGCAUAGUAUAUGUAGGAUUUGGCGCUACCCACAGUUUCAAGCACCCACUGUGGUUCUUGGAACAUGUCACCCCUGAAUAAGGGGGACUGCUAUCCUUCCAGCUCCUGGAAAGAUUUGCAAGAAGAACUUUUCAGUAGACCAUGGGCUAUAGUGACUAGAUGGAACGUUGUUAUGAAGUGAUGAAGUGUUUUCAGGGAGUAUGCUGAGCCUAGCAGCCGUCUCACUAAAAUUAUCAAUCAGAAUUUGUUCCUCCUGUUCUAUGAAAUGCUUGUAGCAUCAAACAUGCACACUUUUAUCUAUGUCUACAUUUAUGCUUGGAACUUUAACUAUAUUUAACUUUCAACCACCUGACAUCUAAAAGGGAAAUAAGCAAAGCCCUCUUAAAAUUGUACAAAUGUGUCCAAAUAGUAAAUUAUACCAAGUAGAACCCUUUGUGCCUCAUGUCUCUUAUUGAGAUUCCAACCUGAAUCCAAGGAGUUGAUGAUACAUUUGCCUCAGCAAAGAAUGUGCUUCACUCCAGAAAUGACCUAAUUAGGACUUUUCACAAGUGAGAAGCCUGUGAAACCCUUAGACAAAUAAAAUGUUUCUUCUGGAGAUUUGACAAUUGGAGUGAAAGAGAUCUAUUGUCUUCAUAUCAUAAACAUGUCCAGCUUAUAUCUGAAGAAUAGUUUUGGUCCAAUAAAAUCUAUUGUUGAGAAAUUGGUAAACAAG
This 61763-nucleotide long non-coding RNA is filed under the name Marmota monax (woodchuck). The record is from RNAcentral. Lineage: Eukaryota; Metazoa; Chordata; Mammalia; Rodentia; Sciuridae.